Molecule: long non-coding RNA, 76018 nt
Filed under: Vitis vinifera (wine grape)
Lineage: Eukaryota; Viridiplantae; Streptophyta; Magnoliopsida; Vitales; Vitaceae
Description: long non-coding RNA (VVIN_LNC006624)
Source: RNAcentral
GUUACAUGGGUGCCCAACUGGGUAUAAUCCCAAACCCAAGGCCCAAUUGAGCUCUCUUUGGUCCACCAACAAUCCAUUAUCUUUCCCUAAGCCAUCAAAGGACAUCCACUUCUCUUCUUCAGUUACAACUUCCAUACCACCCUCUCCACUUUCUGGGACUCUCUCAAUAGAUCAAGUUCAAUAGCUCAUAAAGUAGACUUUGUUCACUUUGGAAGGAUCCUUUGUCAUGCUCAAAUCUUAUUAUUCACAUGCAUUGUUUGACUAAGAUCGUUAUAAUUGUUUCCCAAAGUGAGUCAAUUCCAAAUAUUGAAUAAUUGGUUAAGCAUAGCUCUUACACACAUUCCAAGAUUUAUGCUCUUAAAUGUAUGUGACAUUUGGAAAUACCCCCAAAGUGGAUACAAAAGCAACCAUGAAUGAAAAAAAUCAUAGUGUACAAUGGCUCUAUUUUCAAAAGAAAAAUAAAUAAAUAUUGAUCAUAGUGUACAAUGGCACUACUUUCAAAAGAAAAAGAAAAUAGAAAGAAAUAUGAUAUCAAAUUAAGGGAAAGUCAAGUUGUGUUGUAUAUAGAUCAACAAGACCUUGUUAAACAGAAAUCCAACAAUCUUAAAUCAAAUUAAUUAGAUGUGUACUUUAAUUAGAACAAAGGCAUGACUGGAUCUCUUCUAAGUGAUCAAUUUUGAAAUAUAGAACUAGACAAUAAGUCGUAUUCCCUUGAACAUUAAUACUUAUGUUUCUAUGUUGGUCCUCUUAUCCACUAAUGGUUAUGCAUUGGGUCUCAAAACUAAAAUUACAAUUAACUUUGACCUUUAGACUUGAAACCUCAUUCUUCAUGGAUUGAUGUACAAGAUCUAAAGUAACUCACUUGUUUUGUAAUUGAUUGAAGUAACUCCUACAGGAUAUUUAAAGCCAUCUAGUACACCAUUUCUUAUUUCUCACUUUUCUGAGUUGUUUCAAGCACUCCAAGUUCUUGGUUCUUUGUCAUUUGAGGUUAAUUCUCUUAGUUUUUCGCAUUUUUUUCAUAUAGUAUUGCUUUACACCUCAUUUUUAGUAUUCCUAGUUGUUUAGGGGUUUUUUUUUUGGAUUUUUAUCAGUUUUUCUUACUUUUAGUGUCCUUUUAUAUUUCACCACCUUGUUAUGGCAAGUCGUCAUCAUCCGCAUGAGGUGACCCCUCCAAGGUCACCUGAGCCCGUUUAGAGCAUUGCGCUCCAAGGUCCUUUUGGCCUAAGAGCUCUUCUUGUUGAGUGCUUCCAUUGUUAGGAGGCAUGAGACCGAUACUGCACCUCUUUCCAUAAUUGACGAGUUGAGGUUGAGCAUCCGGUCAAUCUCAAAGUCUUGUAGGAGACUUCUUUUCUUAUUGUUGUUAGAGAUUGAGAAUAAAAGAUGUUACUCUCUCUUUAGGGGACUUUCUACCCCCAUCUUAUUUGCAUUUUCUAUCUGUUGUAAUUGGAGUUACCUUUCAGGUGAUUUUGUAUGAUCAGUCAUUUCUUGUCUCUUCCUGUUCCAUCCAACGUGUGAUUCGUGCCUAGCUGGUGUAUGCCCUGUUGAUUGGUGUUCAAUCAACUGGUGUACUCUGAUUUCAGUCCUCAGACGGGAGUAAUCAACAAAAUUUAUAAACCUAUUUCACCAUAUACUAGGGUAGCAUUAGCUAGCAUAGCAUAAUGGCUCUAGGAUCGUCCACAAGGAUGAGUUUUCAAAUUACAACUGAUAUUAGUUCAAAAACUGAAUUGGUGUUUUUUCUUUUCAAGGUUAACUUUAAAAGAAAACAUAAGUAUGUUUGAAAAUGUUGGUUUUAAGUGAAACCAAAAAUAAAGUAAAUGAAAUUACUUACAAAGAAAAGUGCUUCUUGGAGUUUUAGAUCACUAGGCUCAGGUUUCUUAUACAAAAGGGAGAUUCCGGUCACUUGGAUCUUUUCCUUGCAUUGGGGAUUUAACAUAUAGUUAUUUCCCGAACCGGUGUGGUAUAGAUGCUUCCUCUUAAUGGGUUCAAGCACUAAAUCCCUGUCACUGAAUCAUCUUGCAAUGGUUCAUACCUCUCACAUAGUAUUGGCCAUUCAAGGUGAUCCUUAACCUUGGAUUACCCGUCAAAAACUCGCAAGAGAUAACUAAUGGAUGUCUCCUGGGAGUCCAAAAUCUUACCAAGUGUUGGCUAUUCUAGAUAAUCCUACCUUUAAACCACCUUCCCGAGGCUCGUAAGAGAUAAACUAGUGGAUCUCAAUGGACAGAGACCACUUGCCUUACCAAGUGUUGGCCUAGGUGAUUUUAAGGGAUUUUAAGUUAACUAAAAAGAUAAAAACCAUUAACAGGUCACACUUUCUCUUCAUUAAAAACUGAAACAACAAAAUUUCCAUUUUUGUAUUUGGAACCUUACCUAGCUUCGUUCACUCCAAGACACAAAAAGCCUAGCCACUCAUCCUCUAGGAAAACAUCCUCAGAGUUUGAUUUGUUAGAAAUAAAAAUAAAAGAGAAAACAAAAUGAGAAGGUAAGGUAGAGCAGAGCUCUAUGUAUUACUUUCAGAAAAACUAUACAAAAGUUCGUCUCUGAGAAAAACUCCUUAGAGAUCUCUUUUAAAAGAAUAUUACAAUCGAUAUUAUAUAGAGAGGCUAUUCACCCCUCCUGCUAACUUCCCAACCAAGAAAACUUGUCAUUGGUGGGUUAUAAGGAGAAAAUAGGGAUUUACACACAAAUAUCUGAAGAUAAAUAUCAAACGGAGUUGAUUCGUUCCCAAUUGGUGUCUCAGCUGAUUCAUGUCCUCUCAAUGGUCCCUGACAGUGGUGCCAUUUGAUACGUGUCCAGCUGGUGUUCCUUGAUUGUGGUCCUCAGAAGGGAGUAAUCAACAAAAUUUAUAACCUAUUACACCAUGUACUAGGAUAGCCUUAGCUAGCAUAGCAUAGUGGCUCUAGGGUCGUUCACUGGGAUGGGUUUUCACUUCACAAUUGAUAUUAAUUCAAAGCUGAAUUGGUGCCUUUUCAUUUCAAGGUUAGCUUUAAAAGAAAACAUAAUCUUUAGUGGAAAAAGGAUUGGUUUUAAGCUAACCAAAAAUAAUAGUAACUGGUUUUAAUUACAAAGAAAAGUGUUUCUUGGAGUUUAGAUCACUAGGCUCAGGUUCCUUAUACAAAAAGAGAGUUCCGGUCACUUGUUCCUUUUCCUCGCAUUAGAGAAUUAACAUAUAGUUAAUUCUCUAAUCGGUGUGGUACAGAUGCUUCCCUUUAAUGGGUUCAAACACUAAAUCCCUCUCACUGAUGCAUCUUGCAAUGGCUCAUACCUCUCACCUAGCACUUGCCAUUCAAGGUGAUCUUUAACCUUGGAUUACCCAUCAAAAGCUCGCAAGAGAUAACUAUCUCCUUGGAGUCCAAAAGCUUACCAAGUGUUGGCUAUUCUAGAAAAUCCUACCUUCAAACCACCUCCCAAAAGCUCGCAAGAGAUAAACUAGUGCAUCUCCAUGGAUGGAGAUCACUUGCCUUACCAAGUGUUGGCUCAGGUGAAUUGAAGGCGUUUUAAGUUAACUAAAAAGAUAAAAACCAUUAACGAAUCACACUUUCUCUUCAUUAAAAACUAAAACAACAAAACUUCCAAUUUUGUAUUCGGAAACUUACCCGGAUUUCUUCACUCUAAGAGAUGAAGAGCCUAGCCUCUCAUCCUCUGAGAAAAUAUCCUCAAAGUUUGAUUGGCUACAAAUAAAAAUAACGAGAAAACAAAAAUAUGAAGGAAAAACAGAGCAAGUGCUCUGUAAAAUAUAUUUCUUCCUUUAGCCGAUUACAUGAUUAUCUUUUGUAAAGAAAAUUACAAACUAUAUAUAAGAGGUUAUUCAUCCUUUGUUCUUACUUAAAGACUAAGGAAUCCUAUGAUAGGUGGGUUACAAGGAGAGUUUGGGGAUUUAGACAUCAAAUAUCUAAAGCAAAAUAUCUCAAAAUGUCGGUCGCAAAUAUCAGGAAGCUUCAGGAGAACACCGCAGCCGUGCGUACAAGAGGGCUGCAAAAUUUCGCAGCAAAAGGACAUCAUUUUCGCAGCCUAAGGCUGAUUUCGUAGCCGUGCAAAAUCUGCCUUCAGCUUGGAGUGAUCGGCUUCCAAUGGCUGUAACUCCUUCAUUUCAACUCCGAAUUGUACACCGUUUGAAGCAUUGGAUUGUUGACUUCCUGAGCUUCGAAAAGACAUAUAGAAUGCAUAAAUUGAACUCUAGGAAGUGCUCCAAAAGUGGCUUACAUGACUGUCAUCUAGAAUGCUUCAUGUUAGAUUUCUCUUUGCUUCCCCUCCUUGCAUUCUGGAUUUUCUUAUGGCAAAGGACUUCAAAGCUUUGGUUCUUCAUGUUUCUGAGCUUUCCAUUGCUUUUCCAUGGAUUCCAAAGAACUGUCCUCAAUCUUGGAUUGCUUUAGUGAUCAAUUUACUAACAAAAACACCAAAACUUACACGAUUUGAUUAGAAAUGAUUGCAAAGGUCCUUAAUAUGUUAAUUGGGUUAAAAGGUAAUAACUAAUACUCAAAAGUGUUUAAAAGAGUUAAUUACAAGCUAUAAAAUAGCACUUUUUGAGUAGUAAUCAGGAGUCGAUGCGCAAAUAUCUCAAAUUAUAGGUGGAUUUCGCAAGUUCAAAUGCAACUUGUGAAAAUUUUACAAGUUGAAAUUGUCCAUUUAGCAAGUUAGUUAUCCUGCAACUUAUCAGCUCUCUGUCUUGCAACAAUUCUUUUCCUCUUCCUAUUUCGUAAGUUGCGAAAAUUUCGUAAGUUGGAUUCCACAACUUGCGAAAUUGCUGGAUGGUUGAUUUCUUCUGUGAUUUUCUUUCUUGCAUCCUCGUUUGGCUUUGGCAAAGGGUUAUGAAGCUCCAAAGCUUAGUUUCUUCAUGAAUUUGACCUUUGACUUUCUUUGCCAUGAACUAUACAAAGAUCUCCCUCAUUCUUGGAUUGGUUUGGUGAUCAAAAGCUAUCAAAAACACCAAAACUUAACACAAUGUGAUUAGAAAUGAUUGCAAGGGUUCUUAACAUGCCAAUUGAGUUAAAAGGUAAUAACUACUACUCAAAAGUGUUUAAAAGAGUUAAUUACAAGCUAUAAAAUAGCACUUUUUGAGUAGUAAUCAAUUUGUCCUUGGCAUGCCGCAACUUGAGUCUUGCUUUAGGCAGAAGCUAUUCUCCAAGCCAACAUGGUUGCUAGCUACUUCUACCAUUCUACUCAUCGUACCCAGAUCUGUCAGUCGUCUACUCAAUUCAUUCAUGCCAUACUAAUUCGAUAUCAACCAAGUGAUUUUGGAUAGCAUUACUCCUUCCCGUGAUCCAUCUUUUUGAGGAGGCACCCUUCCUUUUAACCUUCUCAUCUCGUAGAUUUUAGAGGAUGUAGGUUUUGGGAUAAACCCUGCUUUAGGGGUCCAAGCUAACCAUGCCCUCUUAGAUGGGAGCUCCUAGGCUAAGCAUUACAACCACAUUUAUGGACCGAUGGCACCUCUAACCCAUCAUGGUCCUGAAAAUGUGACUCAACAAGCAGCUUAGGAGGCAACAACAGAUGAGAAUGAACUCCUAGCUAUGAAGCAAGGUGUAGUUCCUAAGGUAAAUUAUCUCAAGCCUUUUUAAGAACUUGUUCUAGUUGAGGUCAUGCAAGUUCUUCAUGAGCAAUGUUUGAAAUGCCACAAAAUAUCAAGGAUAUUUCAACAAUAUUUCAGGUAUCGAUGGGGCUCGAUAGAUAAAUAGGAUGGAAAUUUUGGUUAUUAAAAUUUUCAAGUAUUUCCCUCGUUUUUCAUUGAUAUAUUGGUUGUAUGAUGAUAUAAUACCGCUAUAUCAAUUAUAUUGGCAAUUUUUUAGUGCCUUGCUUACUUUUAGGCCAAAAGGUUUCCCCAUUUUUGCCAAAAGGUUUCUUGUUUUUUCCGAAAGGUUUCUUUUAUUUAUUUUUAUUUUAGGCCACAUUCUCACACGCACGACCAUACAAUAGUCGUUCCAGAUGAGAAAGUCACCAUCUAUUAAAUAGGCAAUUUUGUUCUCUCAAGUUGUUGAUGUGGGACAACUUUUAUUGACAAGUUUAAAAAUCUAAUCACAUAGGUAAACAAAAUUUACAUUUGUGAGACUCGAACCCGAGUACACAAGUUUGUCGUGAAAGGACACUACCAUUGAACCAUAUGUGAAUUUGUAGUUUUAAUUGUAUAUAGAAUUAUAUAUAUAAUGUACAUAUCUUUUAUACGUUAUAAUAUUUUUAAUAUAUAUUAUAAUAUUAUUUAAUAAAUUAAACUAUUAUAAAUAGGUUAUUUUUAAUUAUCUUAUUAUAUAUUUUGUAUACCAAUUAAAUACAAGGUAAAUAUCAAUUUUAUAAAUAAAAUAUUAAUAUUUUUAAUAUAAAAUACUUAUCUAAAUAUCAUUGUUUUUUUAUCCCUCAAUAUAUUCAAUUUAAACAUAUUAUCAUUCUAAUAUUAAUGUGCUUUUAAAUUAGUAUAUUAUUGCCUACUAUUACAAAUUUAUUACAUAUUACUAUAUAUAUAGUAAUAUGCGUUUUUUGUUUCAUGUUUUAUCAUUUUUUUUAAGUUUCCAAGUAUUUUCAUGAAUUUUGAUUAAUUUUCAUUUCAUCAAAAUUUUUUUUUGGUCAAAAUGUUCCACCGUUAUUCCCUCAUAUAUCCAUAAAAUCCAAUGAUCAAUAAAUCUGUGAUUACUGAUUUUUUCAUCCUUGCUCAUGAGACAUCUUCUUCUACCCACCCAACUGCCCGAGAGACAUUGGAUUCCAUGGCCUAUCUCCAUCAACGAAUGAACUCCUAGGAUCUUCAGCUUCGUCAGAUCCAGGGACAACUCCACUAUAUCAUUUCCUAGAUCCACUCUAAAGGCACAUUGAGUUCUACCUCUCCACCUCCUUCGGAUGCUUAUAUAUAUAUGUGUGUGUGUGUGUGUGUGUGUGUGUGUAUGUGUGUUUGUUCUUUUUGUAUCGUUAAUUUGGAUUUGUGCUUUUUUUUUGCUAAUCUUAUGUAUCCAGAAUCAUUUUUUUUUUGCUAUAUAUAUUCUUCUUUAUCUUUAACUCUUGUGUGCUUUCCAAUAUUUAUAAUUCAUAUGUUUUGCCAUUUUUAUGACAUAAAGAGGAAAAAAAAAAAUCAUUGACCAUAUUUAACUCGAAUAGGGGGAGCAUAGGCAUUGACAUAAUAGAAAAAAGAUAAAGGAACUCCUUGAAAAAUAGGAGUUAAUAAGUUUUGAAUUAUUUAUUUAAUUCAUUCUUUUACUCAUUUAAUUCUUAAGGAAAAUUAAUUGUAAUAGUGGAGAAAAUUAAACCUGAGACAUUGGAGGAAAUUAGAUCAACUAUUGAAAGAAUAACUUGGAAGUUUAAGAGAGUUACCUAAUAUAGAUAUUUUCUAUAAGAUAUUUCUAUUGAAUUGUCUUUCAUUUUAGAACUAUUAUGAGUCAUAAAAGCUUCUUCUCAUGACUUUUAUUGUCUAUUUUUUGGCUGGAGAUGGUCUAGGCAUCAUAGUUGAUCUAUUGUGUCUUAUCAAACUUCUAUUAUGUUUGGUUGAUUUGUAUACAUUUAGAUUCCUUUCAAGCUUUACUUUGUACCUUUUUAUCGCUAUAAGUGACAACCCGACUCUUGGUAGCUUGGCAUGUAAGGGUAUCAACAAAAUUUAUACCUAAGGUCCUUGCACUAAAGUAGCAAAGCUACUGUAGCAUAGUGGCUCUAGGAUCGAACACUGGGAAGGGUUUUUACUUUAACUAGUGAAGUUCGGAGGAUGGAGUGAACUUUUCUUAAUAAAAAUUAGGUUAAGAUGAAAACAUAAAAAGAUGAAGGUGUUGUAAACUAAACUAACAUGAAAAUAGGUUAAAAGAUGGAAAAAGAAGUUUCUCAAAGCUUUGGAUAGCCAUGCUUAACUCAUUGUGUAAAAAUGGAGAUUUUGGGACUUUUCACCUCGAGUUGGGGAAGCAACUAAGGUGAUGCUUACUUCCCGAACCGGUAUGAGUUUAACAACUGAGUUUUAGUCCUUUAAAACUUACAAAAAGGGUAGCUGAACCUCAUAAAUGCCCUUUUAAUGAUAUAGGUCAUCUCCUCGACUUGCAAUACAAUGGCUCGUAGGAGAUAACUAAUGAACGUCAGUGGAUCUAACAAUAAGAAUCCACUGAGACCAAAAGCUUAUCAAGUAUUGGCCAUUCAAAGCAAGUCAGAGGGAUUAAAAGCUUUACUUUGAAUGAAAACAUUUAUGACACUCAGCNNNNNNNNNNNNNNNNNNNNNNNNNNNNNNNNNNNNNNNNNNNNNNNNNNNNNNNNNNNNNNNNNNNNNNNNNNNNNNNNNNNNNNNNNNNNNNNNNNNNCAUCCUUGGGGAUUUCAUCCUCCAAGGAUGUUUGGCUACUAGAAAAAUGAGAAAGAAAAGAGAAAAGAAGCGUAUGAACAAAAGUGAUCUUAUAACUUAUAAAGUUACAGGUUACAAGAUUAGAUGAUCAUUGUCUGAGGCUCUUCACCUCUAUUUAAAGACAAUAACAAGCUAAAUUACAAGAGCUAUUACAAAAGCAACCUAUUCAUUGGUUGAUUACAAGGGUAAAAUAGGUAUUUACAAAGCUAAAAAUCAAGCAAAAUAUCUUGGAGAACCGGUAGUGGAAUAACAUCAACAACGUCUCAAAACAGGGGAUUCAAAGGAAUUUCGCAAUGUGCCUAAAUCCUCCUUGCGAAAUUUUCGCAAUGUGUUUCUUCAUGGUGCGAAGUGGCAAAAUUUCGCACCAUGAAGAAAAUCUCCUUGCGAAAUUGGCCAUUUGACAUGAUGCAGUUGCCUUCCAAAGGCCAUAUCUUCCUCAUUUCAGCUCCAAAUCAUACACGGUUUGAAGCGUUGGAUUCUUGACUUCCUAAGCUUUCAAAUGGUAUAUAGCAUGAAAAACAUGGACUUCGGGAAGUGCUCCAAAAGUUCAAAGGAAGACUGCAGCUGUUUUUUUCACUCUGUUUUCUUCACUCUGUUUUCCUCUUCUCCAUUGCUUGUGCUCGUGUUUCCACUUGAAAUUCAAGCCUAUAAACGUACAAAAUCCUUGCUUAACUCGCCCAAGUAGCUCCUCCAUCAAUUGGCAUGCUUGAAUCGAUUCAUAAGCUGAUAAAAACAUGUCAACUUUGCCACAAAAAGGUUAAAACCAAUUACUAAGGACCUUAAUGAAUUAAUUGGGUUAAAUGAAUAUGAUUACUACUCAAAGGUGCUUAAAACCAUUAUAAUUAGGUCUACAAAAAAGCACUUUUUGGUAGUAAUCACACCCCCCAACCGACUCAUUGCUAGUCCCUUAGCAAUGGAGGAGAUAAAAACUAAGUAAACUAUAAUAAUAUACAUAAAAGGGAUCAUGCAAAUCACUCCAAAAAAUGAUAUGAGUGGCAUGAUGAUAUCAAAACACAUCUCACAUGGUGGACUAAAGAUAUGAAGAUUCAAAAUAUAAUAGGAGUUGUCAAAGCUAAAACUUAAACAAAAAGUACAAAGAGUGGAGAUUAUGCAAUUAAGUAUCAAAAGAAUCUCUACUCUCAAGGUUCCGGAUCAAACUCUUCCAUAAUGAGCUAAGUGUUAAUGAGAUUAGCUUCCGGAUAUAGUAUGCACAACUAUCCUCUCCCCCCAACCUAAGCUUUUCUCGGACAUUGGCAAAAUUAACCAACUCUUAAUAGGUUAGGAACGCACCUUCUUAUUCACAAUUCUUUUUACUCACUAAACUUAACCAAUUCACCUAUGUAGCAAGCAGAGGAUCGAUGACUCCCAACCAAUCAAGGUUUAGGGCAUCGGGUUUUAAAGGCUUUCGCCACCCCUUCGGAUCAUGCUUAGGUUUCAAGGAAAGAAUAGAAGCUUAUUCUCUUUUUCUUUUUCUUUUUCUCUUUUCCUUUUUCUUUUUCUAAGACUCAUUGGUCUUUUUGAGGUGUCCCAACACUAUUAAAAAGAGGUUAAGUAAUAAACCAAGUCAAAAUUUUCCUAAGCUUCGAGGGUGAGAAAGUUUUACAUCAUAAAUCCGGGAUCUAAUGUGCACGGUGUGUGUAAAGCUUGAAAUGGAAGAAAUAAGUUCGAAAUCAAAGAGGGCUUCAAUAGAUUAUCAACUUUGAAAGCAUAAAACAAACUCUAAGACUUAAGUAAUUAAGUUAAAACUCGACUUAUCCUAUUUUAUUUUGAGAAAUUAUCUUUAACAACCAUAGAGAAUGAAACAAAAAAUUUUGAAAAAGGGCAAAAACUACUAAAUCAACAAAAUAACUAACUAAAAUAGGAAAUACUUACUUCCUCAACUCUCCCCCCAACCGGGAUGAACAUUGUCCCCAAUGUUUCUAUCGAAAAAGACGAGGAAGGAAUGAUAUACCUUAUGGUGAUGUGGUAUUCAAGGCGUGUGAGUGCAUCCACAUGAUUCAAAAACCAUAAAAAACGUGAGAGAGGAAAUAAGAUACAAAAAAUGAUGCUUAUAUAAACUGAGAGAGUUGAGUACAAGAUAGAAGCAUGAGGUACAUACAAUCUCAGAAUAUAAAACAUGCACAUCUACAAAAAACAUAUACAAAAUGGAGAUAGAAAUAUCCAAUCAUGGAUGUGGCUCCUGAGGUGGAGGAGGUGAUAUGCCCAGGUGAUGGUGGAUCUGAGAUAGCAUGGCGGAGUGCUGGUCCAGGAUAGCUGUGAAAAUGAAUUUAAAAAGAAUCAAAACCUUGGUAAGCAUGAAGAAAAAAUUUCGCAAGGUGAAAAUUCACCUUGCCAAAUUUUCGCACUGGCUACUCCCCUUAAAAACCAAUCCCGAGAGGUUGCACUUUGAUAUUUGCUUUGAAAACAAUUUCGCAAGGUGAAAAAUGACUUGCGAAAAUUUUCGCACUGGUUACUCCUUGCGAAAGUGCAAUCCCGAGAGGUUGCAUUUUGCAUCUUGCAAAAUGUGCAUUUCGCAAGGUGAAAUUCACCUUGCGAAAUUUUCGCAACUCACUUUUUGAGUUGCGAAAUGGGCUUUUAAGCUUGGACUUAGGUAUAUUUCUCCCUAUUUCACCUUUCUUUCCACAUUUGUGAGCUUGUGAGCUUUCGUANNNNNNNNNNNNNNNNNNNNNNNNNNNNNNNNNNNNNNNNNNNNNNNNNNNNNNNNNNNNNNNNNNNNNNNNNNNNNNNNNNNNNNNNNNNNNNNNNNNNUAAGAAGCUCAAAACUCCUUUGACAUUUAUCAUCCCACUCAAACUUGGCAUCCUUCACCAAUAAUUCACAAAGAGGUUUGGCAAUCUUGGAAAAAUCCUUUAUAAACCUCCUAUAGAACCCGACAUGCCCAAGGAAUUGCCUUAUUCCUUUUACAUUGGUGGGAGGUGGCAACUUCACAAUUAGUUCCACCUUAGCUCUAUCUACCUCUAUACCCUUCUUUGAGAUUACGUGCCCAAGAACAAUACCUUGAUUUACCAUAAAAUGGCACUUCUCCCAAUUGAGUACGAGGUCUUUCUCUAUGCAUCUUUUCAAUACAUCUUCAAGAUGUGACAAACAAUCCUCAAAAGAAGUCCCAUACACAAUUAUGUCAUCCAUGAAGACUUCCAUGAUUCGUUCAACCAUGUCACUGAAGAUGCUAAGCAUGCAUCUUUGGAAGGUAGUAGGAGUGUUGCAUAAUCCAAAAGGCAUCCGCCUAUAAGCAUAGGUGCCGAAUGGACAAGUGAAGGUAGUCUUCUCCUGGUCCUCCACAUCAAUCUCUAUUUGAAAAUACCCGGAAUACCCAUCCAAGAAGCAAUAAAAAGGAUGCCCAGAUACUCUCUCAAGGACUUGAUCCAUGAAAGGUAAAGGGAAGUGAUCCUUUCUCGUUACUGCGUUCAGCUUCCUGUAGUCAAUGCACACCCUCCAACCAGUUGUGAGGCGUGUGGACACUUCAUCUCCAUUUUCCCCCUUGACUACGGUUAUCCCGGACUUCUUUGGAACAACUUGGGUUGGACUCACCCAAGUGCUAUCCGAAAUGGGGUAAAUGAUGCCCGCUUGAAGAAGCUUCAACACUUCAGCCCUUACUACCUCUUGCAUAUGAGGAUUCAAUCUUCUCUGUGGCUGACGAGUUGGCUUAGCUCCCUCCUCCAUAUAAAUAUGGUGCGUGCAAAUCAAUGGGCUUAUCCCCUUCAAAUCAGAAAUUUGCCAUCCGAUGGCCUUCUUGUGCUUUCUAAGGAUUCUCAGAAGAUUGUCCUCUUGUGAAACGGUUAAAGAANNNNNNNNNNNNNNNNNNNNNNNNNNNNNNNNNNNNNNNNNNNNNNNNNNNNNNNNNNNNNNNNNNNNNNNNNNNNNNNNNNNNNNNNNNNNNNNNNNNNGCUUCAAAGGGCUGUUGCAAAAGUGAGUGCUCCAUCACUGAUGAUUGCUUUAGGCACUCCAAACCUCGAGAAGAUGUUUUCUUUUAGGAAUUUGAGAACCACUUUGUGAUCAUUGGUUCUACAGGGUAUAGCUUCAACCCACUUUGAAACAUAAUCAACUCCUACCAAGAUGUAGGAGUGGCCAAAAGACAUAGGGAAAGGUCCCAUGAAAUCUAUGCCCCAAACAUCAAAAAGAUCCACUAUCAAGAUGGGGUUCAAAGGCAUCAUGUUUCUCCUUGAAAGCUUGCCUAGUUUUUGGCACUUAUCACAUCCUUUACUUACCUCAUGGGCAUCCUUAAAAAGUGAGGGCCACCAAAAGCCCGAUUGAAGAACUCUCAUUGCUGUCUUUUGUGAGGCAAAGUAGCCUCCACAUGCAUUCUCAUGGCAAUGAGAUAGGAUCCCAUGCUUCUCUUGUUCAGGCACACACUUCCUUAUAAUUUGAUCCACACAAUACUUGAAGAGAAAAGGCUCCUCCCAAUAAUAUGCACGGACCUUGGCAAAGAAAUUCUUCUUGUCCUGAGAGCUCCAUUCACUUGGUAUUUCUCCCGUGACCAAGUAAUUGGCAAUGUGUGCAAACCAUGGCACUUCCUCCAAAAGCAUCAAGGAUUCCUCAGGGAAAUCAUCAUUUAUGGGAAGUCCAUGGGUGUCAUGAGCAAUGUUGAGCCUUGACAGGUGGUCAGCUACCACAUUCUCAACACCUUUCUUAUCUCUGAUCUGGAGGUUGAACUCUUGAAGCAAAAGUAUCCACCUAAUCAACCUAGCCUUGGCAUCUUGCUUGGUUAGCAAAUACUUCAAAGCUGAAUGAUCCGUGAAUACCACAAUGGAAGACCCUAUCAAAUAAGCUCUGAACUUAUCCAAAGCAUACACCACAGCAAGUAAUUCCUUCUCAGUGGUGGUGUAAUUCUUUUGAGCAUCAUUCAAAGACUUGCUUGCAUAGUAGAUCACAUAAGGUUUGCCAUCUUCUCUUUGUCCCAAAACAGCCCCAAUAGCAUAAUCACUUGAGUCACACAUCACUUCAAAUGGCAACUCCCAAUUUGGUGCUCUCACAAUGGGCGCUGAUGUCAAGAAUUGCUUAAAAAGCUCAAAACUCCUUUGACAUUUAUCAUCCCACUCAAACUUGNNNNNNNNNNNNNNNNNNNNNNNNNNNNNNNNNNNNNNNNNNNNNNNNNNNNNNNNNNNNNNNNNNNNNNNNNNNNNNNNNNNNNNNNNNNNNNNNNNNNGUUCCUCCAGCUAGAGUUGUACGUGUUGCCAUAGGGAGCAUUUGGAUUUGGCUUCCAUUGGCCAAUCAGGUUAGCUUGUUCCCCAAACAUUUCUCUUGCUGCCGGAAUGGUGGGACAUUCUUCCACCAUAUGUUCAAAUGACUGACAUAUGGAGCAAGGAUUGGCUUGUUGUUGAGGUUCUGAAAUAGCUUGGACUUCGUGAACUUUUCUCAACUCCAUUUCCUCUAUUUUUCUAGCCAUGGCAGCUACCUUGGCUUUCAUCUCCAUGUCUUCACUCAGACUGUACAUCCCCCCUCUUGACAUUUGCUGAACUGGCCUCUUCCCCAUUUCUCUACUAUUGAGCUCAUCCCAUCCACGGGAAACCUCUGAGACAUAACUUAGGAAGUCCAUAGCCUCCUCAGGGUUCUUGCUCAUGAAAUCACCCCCACACAUUGUCUCCAAUAUCUGCUUCAUUGAAGAUGACAUGCCAUCAUAAAAAUAGCUCACCAAAAGCCAUGUAUCAAAGCCGUGGUGAGGACAUGCAUUGAUGGCCUCCAUAUACCUCUCCCAGCAUUCAUAAAAUUUUUCAUUUUCACGUGCUGAGAAGUUGAAGAUUUGUCUCUUCAAUCCAUUUGUUCUGUGAGUAGGGAAAAACUUCUUCAAAAAAUCAGCUUGAAGUUCUGUCCAUGUUCUUAUGCUUCUCGGCCUCAAGGAAUUGAGCCAUAUCUUGGCUUUGUCCUUUAAUGUGAAUGGAAAGAGCUUCAACCUCAUAAGCUCAAUAGCUGUUCCCCCUUCUUGAAAAGUAUUGCACACAUCUUCUAAUUCCUUUAUGUGCGCAUAUGGAUUUUCACUUUCCAUCCCAUGGAAAGUAGGAAGCAGAGGCACGAUGUGUGGCCUGAUAAUCAAUUGCUCUGUAGGAGGAAUGAUGCAAGAUGGUGCACUCAUCCUCGGAGGGUGCAUCCUGUCCCUCAUGGACCUAUACAAGUUCGGAUCAUUCCCCUGCCCGUGUUGUGAAUGUUGAUCCUUUGGCUGAUUCUCCAUGACUUCCAAAAUAAUCUCUAAUUCAGUAGCUCGUGGAGUCUCUAUCCUUACUAACCUUCCCUCUUGGUCUCUAAUCCAAUAGGGCAUGCACGGAUUCAGCUGGAACAAAACAAAUAAACAAAACAAAGAAAAAGAAGAAAAAACAGAGCAUGCGGAAGGAAAAACAGAGUAUGAAAAAUAAACUAAAAAUGAAAGUUAAAAGCUAAAAGAAACUUAUCUAAACUAAGUUAAAAAUGUUCUAAAAUUAAAAUAAAAAGUUAGUAAAUAAAAAAAAUGAGAUAGAAUUCACCUUACUCAUGAGAAGUCUCACAAGUUACCUCCGGCUGAUAUAUUCAUAGUGAAGUAGCACCUUCCCCGGCAACGGCGCCAUUUGACAACCCGACUCUUGGUAGCUUGGCAUGUAAGGGUAUCAACAAAAUUUAUACCUAAGGUCCUUACACUAAAGUAGCAAAGCUACUGUAGCAUAGUGGCUCUAGGAUCGAACACUGGGAAGGGUUUUUACUUUAACUAGUGAAGUUCGGAGGAUGGAGUGAACUUUUCUUAAUAAAAAUUAGGUUAAGAUGAAAACAUAAAAAGAUGAAGGUGUUGUAAACUAAACUAACAUGAAAAUAGGUUAAAAGAUGGAAAAAGAAGUUUCUUAAAGCUUUGGAUAGCCAUGCUUAACUCACUGUGUAAAAAUGGAGAUUUUGGGACUUUUCACCUCGAGUUGGGGAAGCAACUAAGGUGAUGCUUACUUCCCGAACCGGUAUGAGUUUAACAACUGAGUUUUAGUCCUUGAAAACUUACAAAAAGGGUAGCUGAACCUCAUAAAUGCCCUUUUAAUGAUAUAGGUCAUCUCCUCGACUUGCAAUACAAUGGCUCGUAGGAGAUAACUAAUGAACGUCAGUGGAUCUAACAAUAAGAAUCCACUGAGACCAAAAGCUUAUCAAGUAUUGGCCAUUCAAAGCAAGUCAGAGGGAUUAAAAGCUUUACUUUGAAUGAAAACAUUUAUGACACUCAGCUACUUACAUUCAUGGCUUGGAAAUCUCCAUCCUGACACGGGAGCUUCACAUGGCAUCCAUUACUUCAAGAAACUAAAAGGUUUUAGCCUCUCAUCCUUGGGGAUUUCAUCCUCCAAGGAUGUUUGGCUACUAAGAAAAUGAGAAAGAAAAGAGAAAAGAAGCGUAUGAACAAAAGUGAUCUUAUAACUUAUAAAGUUACAGGUUACAAGAUUAGAUGAUCAUUGUCUGAGGCUCUUCACCUCUAUUUAAAGACAAUAACAAGCUAAAUUACAAGAGCUAUUACAAAAGCAACCUAUUCAUUGGUUGAUUACAAGGGUAAAAUAGGUAUUUACAAAGCUAAAAAUCAAGCAAAAUAUCUUGGAGAACCGGUAGUGGAAUAACAUCAACAACGUCUCAAAACAGGGGAUUCAAAGGAAUUUCGCAAUGUGCCUAAAUCCUCCUUGCGAAAUUUUCGCAAUGUGUUUCUUCAUGGUGCGAAGUGGCAAAAUUUCGCACCAUGAAGAAAAUCUCCUUGCGAAAUUUUCGCAAUGUGAAAUUCACAUUGCGAAAUUGGCCAUUUGACAUGAUGCAGUUGCCUUCCAAAGGCCAUAUCUUCCUCAUUUCAGCUCCAAAUCAUACACGGUUUGAAGCGUUGGAUUCUUGACUUCCUAAUCUUUCAAAUGGUAUAUAGCAUGAAAAACAUGGACUUCGGGAAGUGCUCCAAAAGUUCAAAGGAAGACUGCAGCUGUUUUUUUCACUCUGUUUUCUUCACUCUGUUUUCCUCUUCUCCAUUGCUUGUGCUCGUGUUUCCACUUGAAAUUCAAGCCUAUAAACGUACAAAAUCCUUGCUUAACUCGCCCAAGUAGCUCCUCCAUCAAUUGGCAUGCUUGAAUCGAUUCAUAAGCUGAUAAAAACAUGUCAACUUUGCCAUAAAAAGGUUAAAACCAAUUACUAAGGACCUUAAUGAAUUAAUUGGGUUAAAUGAAUAUGAUUACUACUCAAAGGUGCUUAAAACCAUUAUAAUUAGGUCUACAAAAAAGCACUUUUUGGUAGUAAUCAAUAAGGAUAUGUUUCUAUUACAUGCUUUCACAAUGUAUCGAGCAAAAUCUCUAACUAUCAUGUUCUAUUGCUUUGAUCAUAUCUUAUCUCACACAUUUUCCACCUUUGUUGAAGUUUUUUUUUAUGUGUGUAGGUUACAGGAUUGGAAAAUAAGUACUACCAGAUGAUGCAAAACAUUCCCUUAGUUUAUUUUUAAUUAAGCAUUAAUGUUUGUUAUGUAAACUUCAUUAUAAGAGUUCAGGUGGGUUUAUGUAAUGAUGUUUUGUCAAAAGAUUGCCAUAAAGGGAAAUUGUUAGGACAUUAAGCCUUGAUUAUAUGUCGACAAUUUUGUUCCUUUUAAUGUUUGGCCAUAGAAGUCUUUUUAGAUAGUGACUUUCUCUCUAUUGAAGAUUAUGAGUUGUAAUUUGUCUAACUGAGAAUUCACAAGUACAUCUAAAAAAGUUUGGCUUGUAGUAAGUUAGGCUUCUUUGAGGUAUAAAUAUGAUUGGUAAUUUUUUUGAACUUAAAUUAAUUUUAUAAAGUUUUUUAAAAAUAGAGGAUGCGCAAGUGGGGAGCAAUGCUUAAGUGUUGUGACUACUCAAGUGCCCCAUAUUACUUGAGCGCCCAAAGUGCUCAAGCCACCUUUGUAAGCUCGAGCAAUCAUGAAUCUCUAGUCGAGAUUUUUUCACGCAAAAUUGAUUUGGAAGUCUUCUAAAACCAAACCUUUUGGAGAUUUAUUCCUACAAAUACCUCUUUAUAACCCCUUAAGGGUUAGAGAUUGUUUUAGAGAUUAGUGAGGGAUCUUACAUUCUUUAGAGAGAGUCUCUUAGAGAAAAAGCCUAACGAGCCGCACCAUUCCCGAUCUCUCAUUUAAGGAUUCAAUAUUUGAAUCUUGGUUUGAAAACCUACAUCCCUUUAACAAGGUUGAAAUGUAUUCACUAGAGUAAUAGGAGGUUUCUACGUUGCAGACAUGGAUCAAGUUUUUUUAAGUAUUGAAGAGUAAGUCUUUAGGGUAAAGUGGCCAAGUAAAUCUAUGUAACUUGAUAUCAUAUAAUGGAUUUAGAUUAGCGAUCAUUGACUUCUUGGUUUUUUACCUUCACAAUUAGUGUGGGGGUUUUCCAUGUAAAAAAUCUCUUAUACCUUAUUGUUUAUUACUUGAUAUCUUGUUUGAAUUGCUGAGAUGUACUCUUCACUGUUCUUGUUGGGAUUAAGCCCCUAAAGGAAAGACAUGAUGUAACAAAUUUAGACUUAAUUGUCCUCUUGCCAUCCCUUUGGUGUAUUGACAUUGAUUUGAGCAUUUAACUCAUAUCUCUUACAUUAUUAUAUGACUUGGGUGCAUUAGGAGUUGCACACAAGAUACAAGUCAUGAGUUCCUUAUAAGUACAUAAGUUGUCCAUAAUUGGUUAAUGGAUUUGGUCAAUUGAAGGGAUGACUUAUCUUGGACAUUGGGAUGAGUUUCAAAUGAUGAGUGCACUAGUUUAUGUGAUGCACAUUGGACUGGACCUAUGGUGAAUCAUGAUGUAAGGCUAUCAAAUGUCAUGAUUCACCAAGCUAUUAUGCUACAUGGACUCUCAAAGUAGAGAGGAUAUCGAGCCUAUGUUGAAAUCAACAAAAGGCUUUGACCUAUGGGAGAGACCCUAAAGUCUUCAUAUAUCCUUAUGGAUUAGGUCACUGUUAAUGGAGGUUAGUAACAAUAGGUAUUCUUAAUAGAGGCACCAUGAUAUCUCAUGGGAUUGAGACAGUGUGUCCCCUUGGGUAAUCCAAAGGACAUGUGAUCAUGAAAUUUAUGGCCACAACAAUUCCUUUAGUGGAAUUUGACUUAUGCUCCUUGGAGUUGGAGCUAGAGCAUGUCAGUUAAUCAUAUAAUAAGUGGGAUUUAUAACUUAAGAAUUGGAGAGGUAAUCUUGAUCGGUGAUAGCACUACCUUGUUAGAUUAUGAACACUAGUUCAUUGGGAGUUUAUAUGCAAUGGAUAGUAGGAUGUCGUGGACCUGAACUUUGUCUCAUUAUUAUAUACAUAUGGUAUUAGAGUGUAGUUAAUUCUCUUUAAUGGAAUGUUGAAUCAAUUUCAAAAUUGGAUUUUGAUGGAGCAAAUACUCCUAUGGGUCCUAGUGGUUCUCACUUUGAGCUUAUAUACUAUGUGACACAUUUUAUGAGGGUUGAAUUGACUCUAGGUUGAUUCUUGUGCAUAAGAGCAUUUUGGUAACUAUGCAAGGUGGCAUAGGGGAUAAUGAAUAAGGUAUUUGGUUUGGGCCAAUUGAUCAAUUAGAUGACCCUAUAUAGUUACUUAAUCAAUUAGGAGCCAUUUUGAGCUAGACUAAGUGACCCAAGCCUUGAUGGGCUUAAGUCACUUAAGCACAAUCAACAACCCUAUAAAUACCCCUUUAUGGGUUAGUGUUUCCUAAUGAAUUUUUAUGAGAGUUGUUUUCCACCUCUAGAGAAAGAGAGAGAGAAAUCCAUAGCCUCUUCCCUUUUGUUGCCCACACUUUAGAGUGCCAAGAUUGUGGUUCAAGUCAUCGAGUGGAGGAUCUUGGGUGUACGAGACCUUCUUAGAUGAGAGGUUACAACAUGUGAACAUGCGUAGAGCGCAUGCACAAGAUGUGCAUAGGCCACGUGCAUGGGAAUUGAACGAGACAUGCACAUGGGUAGUAGCAUGAGGAGAGAGACUCUCCAUUUUUUCCAAGUAUGUUCUUCAUCAGAUGGAUUUUGAUCUAGGAACAUAUAAAUCACAUGUAUGAGUUUCAAAUCUCUAGAUCUAUAGUUAUUAAUGGUUUCCAUUUCUAAUUUAUUCCACUGCGAUAGAUUUACAAAUGCCUAGAGAUAGAUGCAUGCACCCUAUGAGAUCUAAGGUAUAGGAACAAAGUAUUAAUCAGGGUUCCCAAGUGAUGAUAAUAGUAAGAAAUCAAGAUUGGACCUAGCACUAAUUAAACAUCUGGUAAAGUCUGGACUCUUUGAUUCCAAAAGAUCUUCUAGUUUAUGAAUCCUAUAUAGAUGGUAAAAUGAUCAAGAAGACUAGAGGUAAGGAAUAUUUGGAGUUAGUGCAUACUAACAUGUAUGGAACUUUUAGUGUCUAUACAUGGGGAGGGUAUGGGUAUUUCAUCACUUUUAGUAAUGAUUACUUUAGGUUUGGAUAUGUACAUAGGAAAUCCGAUGCCUUGGAUAUAUUCAUUGAAUUUAAGGCGAGAUCGAAUAACCUAUUGGGUGUACAUACCAAGUCAUUUCAAUUAUAUCAAGUUGAUAUGUCUGGUAAGUUUGAUUCUUUUUGUUAAAGUAUAAGAUUAUUUUCUAGUUAUGUUCAUCAAGGUCUCUAUUGCAAAAUGAAUAAGUGGAAAGAAGAUAUCAAACUUGGAUGGACAUAGUAAGAUUUUGGAUAGGUUUCUCAUAUUUUCUCAAAUUCUUUUGGGGAUAUGUCUUAUAGAUUGUGUAAUUACUUUUUUUUUUUCUUAAGAGGUGUAUUAGUUUAUAGGAUAUCUAAGAGGAUUUUUGGGUUGUCACCUUUAUAGUCAAAAUCAUCAAAAGAUAUUUGUUAACAUAAAUGUCCCAUUUUUCAUGAAGAUUAUAUGAUAAGGAAGAAGACAUAGAGUGAUAUAGAUUGGAGGAUAUAUUAGAAGAUAGUCCCACAUUGCAUAGGAUACUAUGGAUCCAGAGGGUUAAAGACAUACCAUUCCUAUGAUUUCUAGUACACUAGUACCUCAUCAUAGUGGGAAGUUUAUAUCCCACAUAUAAUGAUGAAGCGGUGAGCAAUGUUUAUGCUCACUUAAGGUAAGGACGUGGAGACUUGGAUGAUACAAAGAGAACCAAUAGCUUUAUAUUCCUCAUGGGAGAGAUAUCAUGUUCACUUGGACUUCAAAAAAGCAACCUAUUGUGAAACUUUCAACCUAUGAAGUGGAAUUUGUGAAAAUGUUUACAAAAUCUCAUAAUCAAAUUGUGAAAAUGUUUACAAAGUCUCUCAAGUUUAAUGAUUUUAGAAUGCUAAGGAUGCUACUUUUACAAAUGAAGUUGAAGGCAUGAGUGAAAAUGUUGACAAAGUUUAAAAUUUUUAGAAAACUAAGGAUGCUAUUUUUACAAACCAAGUUGAAGGGAGGAUGUUAGUUAAACUGGAUUUAGGAAGUUUCUAAAAAUUAGAAUUUGAGUUAGAUUCUAAAAUGCUUGAUUUAGUUUGUAUAUUUUGUUAUUACAAGAUUUUAUAUUUUACCAUUAUGAGUAUCUAUUUUUUUAGGUGUUAAUAUCUAUAAAUAAGAUGUUACCUAAUAGUUGAACAAGAGUGGUGGAUGACAAUAAAUUUUUUCUUAAUCAUCUCAAUUAUUUAAGUAUCUCCCUUUACAUAUGUAAUUACUUGUGUGUUUUUUUCAACCAUAUUACUACAACAUAUGUGAAUUUGCUGGUUGGUCUAUGAAAAUUUAUAUCAGUUGUUCAACCUGUUAAAUUCUGUUAGGCUUGUGUAACGGUAUUUAGAUCAUAGCAUCUUUCCCUAAGCCCGCAUUUUUCUAAAUAUAUAAUUAAAAUUGUUGUGUUUGCAAUUUUAAUGAAAUCUAGCAUUGGAUACUUAACUACAUCCCACAAAACGACAAAAAAAUGGUGGCCAUUUCAUGGAGGCUAACCAUUCACCUGCCUUUAGCCAAGUUGUGUUUCAACAGUAAAGUAAUUAUCUCAAUCAAAACACAAAAUUUAGUUUUCUAAACAAUUAUUGUUCUUGGAAAACAUGCAAGGAACUUAAGCAUCAUAAGGUACUUAAGCAAUCCUAGUUGGACGUUCAGUAUCCAGAUCUUUUCAGAUCUUUUCAUUAAUUGGUUUUUCUCUUUUUGUGCCAACAUCUGCUCUCUCUCUCCAGCAUGCAAGCGUAAGUGGUAAGCACCUCUUUUGUGCUUUAAAUUAAUUGAAUACUUGAUCUUAUUCCGCCAUUCUUUUGGGUCUAACCCAAAAAUACAUUUACCAUGCCUUCUUUUCAUGUCCUCAACUUACUCAAAAGCUCAUAAGUCCCAUUGGAUAUGAUGUACUGAGUUUCAGAUUUUUGAAGUAAAAUUAUCAACAUUGUUUAUAGGUUAUACUCUUUUCAACAGUUUAAAUUGUUUUUGUUAAUAGAUUAUAUGGUUGUUUUAACACGGAAAUUGGAAUGAAGCCAAAUAUGCAGAAAAAAGAAAUGGUUGUGACCAAUAGUUAUAUUUAUUCUCUUUUAUUUCUAUUAAUACUCAAAUUUUUAGGGAUAGAGCAUCAACAAUCCUUGUGAUUAGUUAAUAAUGUUGAGAAAAGUCAAUGACUACACAAUGAUAUGUCAUCAAAGAAGACAUCAAUAAUCACCCCCACACAAUGAUAUGUUGUAUAAUUCAUUACUUGUAUCAAACACAAAUUUCCUUCAAUGUGUGUCUAUGAAUAAAAGAGAGUUCUCGGUUUUUAUUCGACAUACACGCUAUAUAGGCCAUGCUAAUAGCAAUUGAUAACAAGAAUCUCAACACUGAAGUCCACGUAGAAUCAGGUGUGCACCAUAUUGGGGUUGCAUAGUUAGAAUAUUGAAAGGAGCAUGAGCAUAGGAUGGCGAAAGUUCAAAUGAGAAGUGUUGUAAGAUCAUUGCCAAAGCUAUUUUUGCCUCCAUCAUUGCAAAAUUUUGUCCAAUGCAAACCCGAGGACCCCAACCAAAUGGGAAAAAUGAAACUUGGUUUUUUGUUGCCUUCAAAACUCCUUCUGCAAACCUCUCUGGAUUAAACUCCUUUGCAUCAUCCCCCCAAAUUUCAUGAUCAUGGUGAACUAGGAUGGUGGGCGGACUUGCACUCCAGCUGGAAAACACAUGUCUCCCACUUGAGUGUCCUUAUAAACAGCUCUAGCAAGCAUUGCUAUUGGUGGGUAUAACCUAAGAACCUCAUGAAAAAUCAUGGUAACCUGUGGUAGAGAAACUUUAGAAGUUGUUGCAUGAGAAUUCUUACUAAAAUACAUUCUAAAUCAUUAUGAAGGACACUGAAGAAUAAAGCAAUUUCUUAAAAUAGUGAUGUCGAAGACAAAAUGUUCUAAAUCAUGCAUGACAAAAUAUCAAGUAUGCAAAGGACAUUGCAUAUCCCAUGGAUACAAUAACUUAAGAACCUCAUGAAAAAUCAUCAUAAUCUAGCAGAGAAAUUUGAAAUCAUGGCAUGAGACCCCGUUCCUGAGCUACUAAGUGAAAGCAAAUGUUUAGUACAAGAUAUAAAAACUUAAGAGAAAUGUGUUUUCAAUUUUACUCCAAUUAUGGGGAAAAAAUAGAGUAUUGUACGAUUUUAGUGAGAAUCAUUAAACUGAAGAUUGGACUGAGUACUCACAAUUUUUAGGUGAUUUAAUCCAUCAGCUUCCGGUUUUUUAUUCCCAAAAACCUGUAAAACCUCUUCUCUUGCACGAGCUUGCCAGUUUGGAUGCUCGCUUAGCAGGACCAUUGUCCAUACAAGCAAAACUGAGGUUGUCUCUUGGCCAGCAAGAUAGAAUAGCUUACACUCUUCAAUGACAUCUCUGACACUCAUUCCAAUCUUCUUGUUAUUUUGAUGUUCUUGAAUUUCUCUAAAAUUGGAUUCCAUUAGUAUACCUAAUAAGUCACUAUUAGCAGUUUCGCCAGCCUUCAUUGCCUUCUCCCUUUUGUUAACGAUACCCCUCAACAAUGCAUAUACUUCUUUGCUUAUUUGCUUCAUCCUCCUGUUCGUCUUUGUGGGUAAAAACCUGCGCGCAUGUUAGUAAUUCUAGUAAAUAAAACAUCAAAUGAAACACAAACAUUAAUUCUUAUUUUCAUCCAUGCCUUCUACUUCUCCAUUAAUUUUUUGAAACUUGUAUAAGGCUUCAAAGGUAGAAACUAUCAAGACAAUAACUAAUGGUUUCAUCUACACAUGUUGCAGUGGUAUCUCAUCAUCUUGACACAAUAUCCUGUAAACAUAAGAUUGAGGAUACUAAACAUCCAUUAGUGAAACAUACUACUUUCUAAGUGUUAUACAAAAGAAGUAAUUGACUAAAAGGGGAUGAAAUGAUCUCAAAGUUGUAAAUCUAAUAUCUCUUAUGCUUGACCUUGAAAAGCAAUCCAUUUUUAACAUAAAUUCUCUUCAACCUUGUUAACCAAAUACACACUUGAGCAUUGUGAAACUUUCAACCUAUGAAGCGAAAUUUGUGUUGGCAUCAUUUGUAGGUUAUGAAAUUUGUUCAAGAAACUUAAUUUACCAAACAAGAGACUGAUAAAGAUCUAUAUGGAUAUAAAAUCAACAAUUACCUUAUGAGAAAAAUCUAUUUCUCCAUGAUGGUGUUGAAUUUUGAAGUUAAAUUUUGCAAUUGGAGUCUUGCACAAAAUCUGCAACAUCUAAAUAGUUUCUUGUUUUUAUUUGGUCAAGAUUUGGUUUCUAUUUUAUAGGAAGUAAUUGUUCAUCAUCUAGUAGCUUGAUUUUCUGUUAUUCUAAUGUCAUUUCAGUUACAAGUUCAUGUAUAAAUUCAACACUCUUUAUCAAUAAAAUAUGUGUUCCAGCAGUCCAAAAAUAUAUAUUCUGCGUAAGUGUUUUAAUCUAAGAUCAACAGAUGGAAGCCAGUAUAUUGAUACAAAAUAUCAUUUAUUAGAGUAUAUUAUGAAAUAUGAAGUGCAAUUAAAAUUUACAAAAUCUCAUGAUCAAAUUGUGAAAACAUUUACCAAGUCUCUCAAGUUUAAAGAUUUUAGAAAGCUAAGGAUGCUAUUUUUACAAAUCAAGUUGAUGGGAGGAUGUUAGUUAAACUAGAUUUAGAAAGUUUCUAAAAAUUAGAUUUUGAGUUAGGUUUUAAAAGUUAAUUAAAAUAUUUUAUACAAAAUUCUUGAUUUAGUUUGUAUAUUUUGUUACUGCAAAGAUUUUAUAUUUUACUAUUGUGAGUAUUUUUUUUAGGUGUUAGGUGUUACUAUUGUGAGUAUACAAUAAAUUUUUUCUUAAUCAUCUCAAUUAUUUAUAUAUGUAAUUGCUUGUGUGUUUUUUCAACCACAUUGCUGCAACAUAGGUGAAUCCGCUGGUUGGUCUAUGAAAAUUCAUAUCAGUUGUUCAACCUUUUAAAUUCUGUAACGUAUGUAGAUUAUAGCCUCUUUCCCUAAGCCUGCAUUUUUCUUUCAUUUCAUGGUGUCAACACUUCAGGAAAGCAAAAUUUCCUAAAAUGGAAUAUGGUGUGCAAGGACAAAGAGACUUGUUAGGCAUCUAAACUCUAGGGAAAUGUAAGACUGAUUUGAAACCAAAAUUUGAGCAAACUAAAUCUGCUGAAACACUGCUGCAAAAAGAAAACAAAGCCCCAAAUAACUCUUUGAUCUUUUGUACCAAUCAGACUCGUGUAUGAAUAGUUCCAGAAAAAUAAGCUGCAUAUUUCUUGAAAUAUUUUUAUGCAUACCUCCAUCCCGGGAUAUAAACUGACAUUGUAACCUGGAUUGCAAGAUGUGUUUGUUCUUUCUGGAGCUGGAAUAUCCUUCUUCCUUCUUCAUAACUACUACCAAAUGCUGUCCGAGAAAUCACAUCCCCUGUCAAAUUUUCAAGAUAGGGCCAAACAUCCAACUCACAUGAUCCCCCCACCGAAAGCAUUUUCCAUUUGGUCACCAUGUCGCUACAACUCAAAUGAAAUGCCGGCAACAUAUUCUAUAACAAAUUCAACCACAAAAUAAAUUAAUAAAGACCAAAACAGUCCAGUAUCCAGUUUCAAAUUCAAUAUACAGCCAUUUAUCACUGACCUGUGAAAUAACAAUUUUAGUAGUUCAUAAAGUAUGUACUACUUAAAGUCAUCAUAUGUUAGGAAGAGUCGUAUGGGUGGAGGAUGAGGAAUAUUCAGUUUUGCCAUGGAGGCACUGACUAAAGAAAUCAUAGAAAAAAAAUGUGCAUAUUCAUGAAAAGUUAGAUGUAUGGGUAAUAAGCAAGCAAGAUAAGAAAGUUGUUAAGAUCUUACUGUCAUAUGUAUCAAGUAUUUUAAACUAGGAACAGACAAUCAAGCAUAUUUUGAUCCUUAUGGUUCAAAUUACCUAUGGUUUACAACAUGGUAAAUAAAACUUCUGAAAAUUUCUAUUGGAGACUGGAAAAAGACUUUAGAUGAGUAAGAAAAAAAAACAAGGAAAAGGUAGGACACAUUGGGUAUGUGAAAAUACUUAAUUAAACUGAUUGAAAUAUUUGGGAAUUUCGAUAUUUAUACAGGUCUUUAGCAAAAUUUUUAUAAAAAUUGGUAGUUAUUAUUUUUCGAAUACUAAUAUAAAUUUAUCUUUCAAAGAUACAAUUUUAGUGUAGUUUUCAAGUGUUAAAUUUUUUUUUUUAAAAAAAGACAACUUUAUAAAAUUCAUUUCUUUGAACUUUUAAAUGAUAACUUUAAAAAGUUUGUUCACUUUCAGAGUUUGUGAAAAGAUUAAAAAAAAAAAUACACGGAAAUAAGGUAAAAUAUUCUGGUUUGGAAGCUGGGCAUUCAAAAUUACCUUCAACUUUUCUAGAUGGAAAGCUGGGUUGAUGUUCUUUCUACGUUUAGCCCAUCGUUCGCCUUCCAAGGUCACCAGACCAGAAACCAGCAACUUGCCAAGUGGGUGUGGGGGUGGCUUUUGAAAGACAUUGGACUUUAACAAAAUAUCCCUUAUUAGCUCAGGCUCCAUAAUGUUUACCAUUGGAUUUGGACCGAACCAUGCAAAGAAAUUUUUACCUGCACGUUUAUGCCAUUAUUGGAUAGUGUUAGCCUCAGAUUGCUUUUAGUUUGGACUUCACACAAAUUCAACUUUGGGUAUUAAAAUUCAGUUGCACCCAACUUGGACCAUCGAAAACAAUGAAAACUUCAACCAUAGUUUCUAUGCUGAGUUAUUGAUAUGAAGGAAUGAACUCUAUUCACUGUAGCCUUGAGAUUAAAUAAUGAAAUCAAGAGGGCUAUCAAUAUGCUUGGCAGGCUGGGUGACAGUUUUGGAUAGAUGCAACAAUUUUAAUUAUUUAGCUUUGGAUUCUUUCCAGAGAAUAUUCUGCAAUCUAGCAUGGGAUACUUAAAGACUAUAUCCCACAAAAAGACAAAAAAAAUGGUGGCAAUUUCAAGGAGGCUAAUCAUUCACCUGCCUUUAGCCAAGGAUUAGUUAUAAACAAAACCUUCCGAAAAGAAAGGGGGAGAGCCCAUCUGGAUGGACUUGGCAUCGACACAAAAGAAUUGGCAUCGAAAGAAAUAUUAAGAUUUAAUAUUUGUUCAUUUAUACUUUGAGCACAAAUAACUGACAUAAAAAUUCAUCCAAAAGUUCCGAAACGUCAUUAAUUGACACUUGAAAAAAAAAAGGUAAAAACUUGGCAUAAAUUAGAAUUUAUUCAUAGCUCCCAGAAAUUAAACAAUUGAAAACUAAAAACAGUACUUUUCAAAGUGGAAGUAUAUUAAUUUCUUGAUAAAAGAAAUUGCAAUACAGUUAGCAAAGAUUAAGAACUACCACUGAAGUCUAAACCUUUGGUGUAAUUUAAGAAAGAGGAAAAUAAACAAAACAGAAAGGAAAAGAAAAAUAGUUAGGAAGAGAAGAGCAGAUAACAAACAACUGCUUUAGGGCAGUAUAAAAAAGUUGGCCAUAAUUUGUAGAGAUCAGCAAACUUUAAUACUAUGAUGAAAAGUAAUCACUCAUAUCGGUACCGUAUUUCUUAAUGAAAUGACAAUGGAAGGGCAGGACACGCGGAGCAAUAUCAUCGGAGAGGCUGAUUGGUCUUGAAUAUGCUUCUUUUAACAUCAUGGACAUCUCUUUAAAGUCCCCAUGUAAAAGCCUAUAAGAAUUCCCAGCCAGGCCUUGCUCUCUAAGGCAUCUUUCUAACCUCUUUGGCCUCAACCACACCCAAUUCAGUAGCCUCCAUAAACAGCUUAUGAGCACAGUAAGGAACCCAAAAGAAAUUGCAACUGAGCUAUGCUUCAUUUCCAGUUUGAGGGACUUCUAUCAGGAAACGUGUGUUAAAUCACUUCAGAGUGAGAGAAUGACUUUAUGCUGCCGAUGUGUAUAAAUUGGCCCCUCUUCUAUUCCCUCAUGCCGGCAAACAUAGAAGAUUUCGUCAACGCCUAAUGGGGAGAAGAACGUCUAGUAUUUUAAAAUCUAUAAAUUAUCUAUUUUAAUUGUCUCCAUCAAUAUGGAUUUUAAACUUCUCAAUGAGUUAUUAAUUUAUUCUAUUUGAUACAUUUCAAAGUUUGUGCAAUCAUCACUGCUUAUUAAAAACUAUAUAUGCCAUGAAUGUAGAAGGCAAAAUUUGAGCACGGAAUAUGGAAUUCUAUUUGAUGGACCAGCUUUCACUUGUGAGUCGAUGGAGCAUGUGGAUGCUCACUUUCAGAGCCUCAAGGGACAGCUCGCAUCCCUCACAUCUUGGCAGAUGUCGCAGGGUGCUUCCAGCUCUACUACUCCAUCUGAUCUGGACUUUUUGAUACUUCAUGUUUUUUUUUUUUUUUUUUCGUUUUUUUGUUUUUUGUUUUUUGUUUUUUUUUUUUGUUUUUGUGGAUAAGUUUAUUUUGUACACCUAACCCAUCUUGGCUCAGUCUAUCAUAUAUUUGUUUGUCUAGAUGUACUUUUAUUUUCUUAUCUCUUGUAUCCAAAACCUUUUUUUACCAUAUAUGUCCAUGUGUUUGCUUUUCUUUUCUCCUUUUCGUAUGCUUACUGCUUCAUCAUGCUCUUUGUCAUUUUUUGCAAUAAAAAGGGGGAGAUGGAUUGUUGAUUUGAUUGAGUGUUUUGCAAUUCAUAUUUUUUUGACAUCUGUUUCAUGACUUGCAUCCCCUUCCUCAUUUACCUGAUUUGAUAAAAUUGAUCAGUUAUCUUUCUUCCCACACACUACUUUACCUGGGUAUGUUGUUUAGUGUGUGCAAGUUCUAGGUACUAGGGUAUUGCUCAUUUUUUGGAUGUGGCUUCUAGUCCUUUGCACGUUAGAUGAUGAAUUGGUUUAGACAAGGGGUAUUGAGAGAUUUGUAAACUCCAUUUGAGAGUAUUGAGGGGUUUAUGCAAUUUGUAUUUUAUCACAAAAUUGCCAAAGGGAGAGAUUGUUCAUACAUUAGGUGAUGUAGUUUAAAAUUGUCAAUUUUGUUCUAUUCAUUUUGGUUUAGGAUCUUUCUAGAUUGUGUCUCACUCCCCAUUGAAGACUCAAGGUUAUUAAUUGAUCAACCAGGAUUACAUAGGUAAGUGUAAAAAGAUUUGUGAAAGGCAAGUUAGUGUUGGGUAUGACAUGGCAUGGAUUGAGUGGUUUAAAAUUGAGCAAAAUGAUUUUCUAACCGGGUUCAAAAAAUGCCUAAAGCACUCAAGCACUCUAAGAGCAUUUGAGCCCUAGCAAUAAAAUUCUCUAGAAUUUUGGAGAUCUGUCUUUCUAUUUUUAAAGGAUUUAUUUUGAGGAACUUUUUAGAAUUAGUCCACUAGGUUCCUAGGCUUAUAUAUACAUUGCUUGAAAAGGUUUUUGGUUUGAUGUUGUUGAGUUGAAAAACCUAGUUUGUCUUCCUGUUUCCAAAAUUCUAAAAGAAACAUUCAUAUUUUCCUUUGCCUAGUUGAGAAGGAGAUUUGUAUCCCCCUCAAGUGCUAAAGUGAGAUCCUCUAUGAGCACAUGAGAUGUUGCAUUGUGGAUGCAAAACACAAUGUAGGUGUUAGGUAGUAAGUCUUAGUAGUAGCUUUCAUCAGGUAAAAUUGAGUACACACCCCAUUAUAUAUGAUGGAGAGCUCCUCAAAUGCAUAUCCUAGAAUCGAAAUCAAUUGACACUAAAUUAACACCCAACCCAUAUUUCAAACAAAAUCUUGCAAUUUCACAUUUUGAGCACCAAUCCAUGAAAAUGGUGUUUUCGGGGAGCAAUUUCAAUUGAUUUAGGAGAGCAUAUUAGAUCUUACCCUUCCCCUCUUGAGACUUGAGACUUAGGAGUAACCUGUUUUCGGAUAGAUUCAAUAUCACUAAUUGAUUAAUUUCUAUGUACAAUAUGUUUUUCUAAAUUUUAAACUCAUAAAAAUUCCAUCCUCUUAAUUCUAUUAGAAUAACAUAAAUCAUAUGGAAGUUAGAUUCUAAAUCUCAAGUCUUCACAUCAUCAAGUAUCAACUAUACGAACUCAAACUCAACACUUUAGUGGCUCUAAAGAGUCUAUUUUAGUGCAUUUGAGGUAUUUAAAAAUGACCUAAUGCUUGUUUUUUUUUUUUGUUAUUAAUUCCUUAGCCAUUUGUUUUUUAUUUUUUUGUGAGUAUUUUUAGAACUUUAAGGUAUUUUGAAAAUGAAGUAGACUUUGUGGAGGAUUCUCAAAGAAUAAAAUGCCUAAGUAGAGGGCAAGAACAAAUUAUGUACCUUUUAAGUACACAAGAGUCUAUUGUGCAUCUCUCAAGUGUGCCACCAAACUAGAUUGCACACUCCCUCUAGCAAUUUAAAUUGAGCACCUUCCCCAUGAUUCAAAGGUUGCAUACCCCCUCAACAAUUGAACCCAACAAGAGCACUCAACUUGUGCAUGUCCAUAACAUCUUAAUUGCACUUUUCCCUACCACUACAAUAGUGUAUCCCUAGGGCCACUCACCAUGCACUGUCAUGCCCCAAAGCCCACUCCAAGGGCAUGACAAUCUUUUCACACCUAGCUCAAGCCCAAGGGCUCAAAGUGGAAAUGGCACAAACAUUCGUAUUGUAAUUGAAAAUUUACCAAUUACCAAAUUUCUGGAUCAAACAUUUUCAAUUAUGCUUGCAAAUAGGAGAUAUAACAUACACUUAUUUUCAUAAAAACUUUUGAGUUCAAAAUGCCAAUACAUUCAAACUUUUCAACAAAACUUUCUCAUAUCCAUUUCAAAACAAUUUCUCAACAAACCAAAUCGAAUACAUUCAAAAUAUAUUUACUUUGGUUAUGAUAUGACAAAUGGUGCCCAAUUAGGUGGGACUUUGCAAUUGAGUAACUAGUUUCAAAUUGGUUCAAUUUAAGGUGGACAAAACCAAAUGUCAACAAUUAUAACUCAUUGACUAGGGUCAUAAGGUCAACUAUUAUAACCCAUUUACUAAGGUCAUAUAACAUCAACUAUUAUAACCCAUUGACUAAGGCAAAAAAUGUGAACUAUUAUGACCCGUUGACUAAGGCCAUAUAAACCAGAGUCAAAUACUUUAUUUCAUUAAUUCAAACUUACAAAACAAAACAUCAUAUCUCCUCAAUUUUUCAUUUUUCAUAAACAAAGAAAAUACUCAAAUAUACUUUCAAUAAAAAACAUAUAUUUGAUCCUUGCUUAAAGAUAAAACUAAUAUUUUUACACAUUUCAAAAAAAAAAAUAUUUUUUUUUACAAAAAUCUGCAUUAAUUUCCUUUACCUUGAAGAAGCACUCAAAAUCUUAAAGUAUUUAGCUUUGAAGAAUUUCCUCCUUACCUAACAUAAUAUCAUAUACAAUAUUGACUAUUGAUUAUUUAUCUAAAUAUAUAAAUUUGACAAUCCUAAAAAUAUUUUAGUUAGUAUUAGGGAUCCUAAUUAAUUUCUCAUAUUAAUAUUAUUAUCAUCCAAUAUUAUUUUCAACUUCCUAAACAAUAAUUUAUUUCUCUUUUCUAACUUAUCCAAAUUAAAUAUUUUAAGAAGAUUUAUUUGCAUUAAACAUUAUUACUAUUAUCUAAAUCUCCUACUAAAACUUAACAAAUACCCCAUGCAAUUCUUUUUUUUUUCCCCAGCAACUCCACACCAACUCCAUUCAUUAUUAUUAUUUCUUUUAUUAUUAUUAUUAUUAUUAUUAUUGUUGUUGUUGUUGUUGUUAUUGUUAUUAUUAUUAUUAUUAUUAUUAUUAUUAAUUUCAAUACCCAACAACACCUUAACCUAUUUCUCUUCCAAGCCAUCAACGUCUUUUUCUUCCUCAUCAUUUACCAAAAUACUAUUUACUUCCUUUCCUAGGUCAACGUGUUGACCAUUUCUUAUUUUUUUUUUUCAAUAUGCCAAAUCCUUCCUACCUAGACGCAUCUUUCAUCAUUUUUUUUCUCCUCUCUAAAGUCAAAACUUUUAAUCUCCAUACUUAGAAAUUUUAUGUAAUUUUCAAAUCUGAAGCUAUAUAUAUAUAUAUAUAUAUAUAUAUAUAUAUAUAUAUAUAUAUAUAUUCAAAUCUGAAGCUAUAUAUAUAUAUAUAUAUAUAUGUUUAUCUAGAUUUAUUCGUUUAAGUAAUCAAAAUUUGUCGAUCUCCAUUAAUAAAUCAAACUAUGUUCAUAUUUUUUUUUAAUAUUUUUGACCUAGAAAUUAAUUAAGCGAACUCUAAUCAAAAUUGAAAUAUUCCAAAGAAUAUCUAAAGUGUUCAAAACUAAUUAACGAAUAUAAAAUAUUAAUUUAAGGACUAAAAAUCAUACUAGAAAAAUUGAUCUUCAAAUCCUAAACCUCCAAAUCUUCAACCGUAUGCUCUCUAAUAUUUCUAAUCUCUAUGUAAAAGGGUUUUAUGAAUAGAAAGGAUGGGAAAAGUCUAAUUUAUGCCUAGGAGUUUUAAAUACAAAAAGACAUGUUUACCCUUAUUAAAUUACUUAAUUAAUUAUUAAUUUUUAAAUUACGAUUUUACCCUUAAAUUGGGUUUAGGGCAUUACAUGCACACUGUUCCCACUCUUGCAAAGGUUGCGCACCUGAGAAAACUCCUUCCAAUGAUUUGUACACUCACCAAAGUAAUGCAAGCAUCUAAGCCUUAAGUCAUCAUCUAUACUAUCAAUUCUCCCAUACUGAUUGCAUUGAAAGCCAAGUGCAACCACCAACUCCAAGGUGAUAAGUCAAGUACAAGAAAGAUGGCUAGUCGACUACAUUGACACAUGAUCUGAUCCCUAACAUGGGCAAGAGGCAGUUCUAGGAGAAUAGUUUGAUCAAUAACAAUGGAUUACCUAAAGGGAAACCCAUCUAUAAAUAGAGGAUUGUCUGGGCGCGCACACGCACACACACACACACACACACACACACAUAUAAAUAUGUAUGUAUGUAUGGGGAGAAGAAAAGAAAAAAAAGGAAUGUUGUAGAGUUUGAAUCUUGAAUGGAGAUGAUAUUAACCUUUUUAGGAUUUAGUUAGGAAUUUAUUUUGGUAAUUAAAAUGAAAAUUAAUUAUUUGGAUAGGAUUUGUUAGAUAGUUUCCAAUUUCUUUCUAUAUAUUUUCCUUAUUUUUGUAGGUUUCCUACAGUUAUAUAAAUAGAGGACAUUUUCUCUUCUUUUCUCUAUGAAUGAAUAUAUGACUAGGUAAAAUUAAGCUACAGGUUUCUUAAUGGUAUCAAAGCCAACAUCUAAUUACUAGGAAUAAUGGUUAAAAUAGCAAUGAUAGGUGCUUCCAAUUAUGAUAACAACUUGAAGGAGGCAAAAAGAAAACCUAUCCCUCAUUAGAAUUUUGUGACCAAUGGUGAUGGUCACUCUUCUUAGCUAAUUACCUCUCACAAAUUAAGUUAAUGGAGAAAAUUAUCUUUAAUGGUCUCAAUUUGUCAAACCUUUCAUUCGUGGGCAUGGACAAUUUGAAUAUUUUAUUAGAGCAACAUCAACACCACAAGGAACAAUUCUCAUUGAGGCAUAAGAAGUAGAUAAUGCCAGAUUAUGUCAUGGCUGAUCAACUCAAUGGAACUCAAGAUUAGGAAGACAAACAUGUUCAUGCCCAUAACUAGAGAGAUCUAGAAGGCUACCAAGGAAACCUAUUACGACUUAGUAAUUUGCUCAAGUCCAUAAGAUAGCCAUACAAAUAAAAAAUACCAAGCAAGGUAAUAUGAAUGUAAUUCAGUACUAUAAUAUACUUAAAACUCUUUGGUAAGAACUUAAUUUGUUCUAUGAUUAUGAAUAACAUUGUGCAUAAGAUAGUGAAAUGUUCUAAAAGAUGAUGAGAAGGAUCGAGUAUUUGCAUUCCUAGUGGGGUUUAAAUAAUAAAUUAGAUGAGGUUUACCUCUUUACUUAACAUUACCCUAGUUAUAAAAAAACCAAUCAGCUUCACAUUUCGGCCAAUGAUCUAAAAUUCAAAAGAAUUCAUGGAAGGCCCUAGUGUGACCAUCAUCUCCUCUAAAUGCUUCCAGAAUUCAAAAUAUCCAUUGACAAGUGAUUAACCAUCAUAUUUUCCAAAUGCAUCUUUAGAUGUCAUAUACCCAAAGGUGUUCAAAUUCGUAAGAUAUUGACCAAGUCUAGAUAUUAAGAAGGUAUAUCAUCCUUUACCAUUGGAAAGAAGAAGAUACAUUAUCCUCUACUAGUGAAAGCACAUAUGCCAUCAUCUCAACAAAUCAAGCAUGCAUGCAAAUUUGUCUUCUUGGUCUUCUAAUUGUAGUCAAGCAAGUAUUAAUGAAGUACUUAAUUUGUAGCAUCUGUUUAUCAUCUAUAGUGGUUGUAGUUUCUAAUCCAAUAAUUGCACUCCUUUGAAAGUGGUACAAAUUAUUCUUCCUUAUUCCUUGCAUCACCACAAGUUUACUUGGCAUAACUUUCAAAAUCCCAUAUUUUAUAGUAACAAUAUUGAACCCUAUGGGUUCUAAUACUCCAAUUGAGAUGAGACACUUAUUCAUACUAGGAACAUACCAAACAUCACUCAAAAUUUUAGUUGAUUCAUCAUGAGUCUUCAAUUGGAUGGUAUCUAUUAUUGUUAUCUCACAAGCAUUAUCAUUCCCCAUGUAAACAACUCCAUUUGUAGUUCUUCAAAGCAAGAAAACCACUCCUUGUAAGAAUGCAUGUGAAGGUGGACCCAAUAUCCAAAAUCCAUUCAUCUAAGUUAUAAAACAAGGAUAAGCAAACCAAAGCAAAGUUUGACCCAUCUUCUCCAAACUUAGCCACAAAAGCAUCGAAUACUAUUUAUUCUUUAUUCUUAUUCUAUAGCUUAGGACAAUCAUUAUUCUGACACUACCAAAAAUUAAGUAUGGUUGACCCAUUUAUAUUUACUUUUCGGACAUAUUUAAGUUGACGCAAAUUUCUAACACACCUAUUCCAUCACAAAUUGAAUUGUCCGUCGCUUAUAUUUACCAAUAGUAAUUGCAACAACAAAUACCUACUGGCAAAAAUAUUAUUGCAAUGGAUUUAAACCAUUGCAAAUGUUCAACUAAUAUACUUUGUUACAAAAGCAAUUUACCUAUAAAAUAGAAAAAAAAAAGUGAACUUUCAAAAAUAAUUUUUUCUAUGAAAAUUACUACUCACUAAAAUAGUUUUAUUAUAGUGGAUAAUAAUACCACUCAUAAUUUGUUCCAAAAGUAAUUGUAGUCAUAUGAAUAUAAAAUCUUUUCACCAUAGUUUUAUGCUAAAUAUGAUCUAGCUAGUGACAAAACAAUUUUAUGAUUAUUUUUUUAGGUUCAUACAAUAUUUACAUAUUUUUUUAAUCAUAAUUGUUUUAACAUUUUAAUAUUUUUUUAACUACUUUUUAUUGUCCAUUUUAGAAAGAAAUAAAUUUAAAAUUAUUGAUAUAUAUAUAUAUAUGUAUGUAUGUAUGAUAUAAUUUAUGAUAUCGAAUAAUAAUAUUGAAAAUUUAAAAAUACAUUUUAUAGAGAUUUAUCUAAUUUGAAUGUAUUCAAUAACAUAAAAAAUGAUAGUACAUGUAUAAGUAUUUUUAUUUUAAAAUGUUGACAAUUUUAUUUAUAAAUUUACAUUUAUUUUAUAUUUAAUUAUUAUACAAAAUACACAAGAAUCAAAAUUAAUUAAUUAAUAAUAAUUUUAUUUUAAUUAAUUUAUAAUAUAUAUAUAUAUAUUAAUUCAUGCAUGUAUAAUUUAUAUAUAAUAUGUAUUUAUAUAUAGAUAAUAUUUAUAAUAUAAAUGCAUAAGUAUAUGAUAUUUACAUUUAUGAAUCUUAUAUACAUUCUUUAUAUCACACAUAACAAAGUUGACUUGGUGGCACAAUUGCUUCCUUUCAAACUUGAGGUCAAGGGUUCAAUCUCAAGAAACAACAUCCAAGCCAAUAUCCAAAACUAGCAAGGAGAGGAGUGUACAAGAUGCUCCAUGUGAAUGUAAUGAAAUCGAAAUUUCAUGACAACCUAAAAUCUUUUAUUAUUUAUAUUUCUCAACCAACUUAAUUUGUUGGUAAUAGUGAUGGUCUAAAUUCAAUGGAUAGUUUGUUGCUAAAUAUUUUUUAUUGGCAACGGAAAAUUCCCAUCAAUAGACUUUUUCCAACACACCUUUCCUCUCCUACCAUGUGAUGGGAUUAUCGAUUGGUAAAUGUUUAUUUCGACUGUGUAUAUUAGUCGAGAAAAAUCAAAUUUCUUGUAAUGCGAUGACCCUUGUCAUGAAAAAAGACACAUUCAUCUUUUGCAAGUAUACAUUUAAAUUAAGAAUUAUCUUCUUUUCUAGGUUUUCAACUUUGAGAUUUGUCAUUAACUGUUAAAGCUUCCAAAGAUAUAUCUCUAUGAUCGCUUUGGUCCUUUCUUCCUUUAUUCAGAGCUUAGCAAAGUGGAACACACAACAUUGAAAGUAAUCUUAUCCUUACUAGAAAGUAAGGUGAUGGUAAGAUUUUCAUACACAUUAAGAAACAAAUUCAAUAACAAUAAGGCCUUAUUCUCAUCUUCAAUGAUCUCAUCUAAAUUCAACAAAUUUGCUCUGAUUCUAUCAAAUGCAUGCAUAUGAUCAUUCAUAGACAUAUCUAGUUGAUACUAGAAGCAAAAAAGUUUUUUCUUCAAAUAUAGUUGAUUUUCUAGACCUUUUUUCAUAUACUUGUCUUCCAAUGUCUUCCAUAAAUGUUUUUGUGGAUAUCUCUUUCAUAAUGGAAUAAUUUUAAGCUUUAACAAGAUAUAAGUGGAUGGAACUAUAAAAUUGACAAUUGAUCCCUUACCCAUUUUUUAUCAUUCAUGUUUUCAAGUUUUUCUUCCAAAACAAUAUCCAAAUCCUAUUGACAUAUCUAAUUAGUGCCUCUUACUGCCACAUUCCAAAAGUACUAGUCCUAUCAAGUUUCUCUAUUACAAAUUUCGCAUUAGUAACCAUAGUUUCAACUAACAAAGUUUUUACCUUUUCUUUUAACUAGUGCAAUAACAAAUAACCUUGAACUAACCUUGAAACCAACCUUGGAUAGAACUAAUGCUCUUAUACCAUUUUUUUGUUCUUUAACCUAAUCCCACAAGACUUCCAAAAGUACCAAAUAAAAUACAAACUAAACUAGUCCAUAAUAUAAAGAGAAAAUUUAUGAGGUUUAGUAAGGAUGUCUUACCUAUAUCAUUAGACAAUGAUGAUCAAUCCACUAAUCUUCAAAUCAAAAUUACAAAAUCAAGUUGGGAAAGAUUGUCUCACAAAGUGGCUGCAAUUACAAAGAUUGACUGAAGCUACUAUAACAACUUUGCUAAAGUCAUCCUCACACUACUAUGAUGAAAAGACUUAAGACUCAUUUAUAGAACCUAAAUAAGUCCCUGAGCCUUGACAAAACUAAUUCAUAAUUCUUAUGGGACAAGGACUCAUAACAUAUAGCAAAUUAUGAAAUCAUAAUCCCUAUAGGACAAGGAUCCCUAAAAUAUAUUAAACUCUUAAUUGAGCUAAAAGCCAAUACCUAAUAUAGAACCCACACCAUAUUUGCCAUAACUCUACUUAGUAGAUGGUUGUAAAGCAAAAUUAUCACUUUCAAAAGUUAAAUAAUCAUUUAUUUUUCCUUCCCUUUCCAUUUUUCUUAUCAUCCAAACGACAACAAUAAAAAAUGUAGUGUAACUUUUGUUACUUUGCUACUUGUUCUCUCAAGUUACUUGCCUGCUUGUGAAUGACCUCUAUAAUAAAAGUAAAUGGAGAAAUAAUUUGGAGUUCCAAGAUAUAGGUAGAAAAGAGUGGAAAAAACCCUAGUUCUACAAAAUAGUUUGCAAUUUUGUCUCUAGAUUUCUCAUUUUCGUGGUAAUGGCCAUUGAAGAUGUCAUCACUGAGAAGAUCACAAAGUAAAGAAGGCAUGACUGAGGGUUGGUAGAGUAGAGAGUUAAGGUAGAAAAUAGCAAAUAUAGGAUUUUGACGUUUUUAGAAUUUGUAAAUAAAAAAAAAUAGAAUCCAAAAAUCACUUUAAGAACAUUAGGUUGAAUUAGGGCACAAGGAAUGGCUACCACAUGUAUGCUAGGUGAAAUAUUAGUGUUUUUUUCUUUUUUUUGUCAUGGUUAAGGAUUUGAGUAACUAAAGCCUCAAUAAAGUCUUUGAGGUAUCCACUAAAGAGCACAAGGAGUGUUGCAUGGGGGCGUGGAAGAAGAAUGUAAGUUACGUGUAUCUUGUUUUUAUAUUUAGUAGAUUGUUUGUGGUUGAUAAACUAUUCAUGUAAUGAGCUGCUCCCAACCGUGUAGAUAUCGCCCACUUUGGACCCAAAGGGGCCCUCAUGGCUUUAAAAUGCCUCUACAGAGUUAAGAGAAGUCCAUACUUAUAUAGCGCCAAGAACUUUCCCCCCUAUCCGAUGUGGGAUGUCAGAAACAUCCCCUUCCCCAUGUAGACACAAUGUCCUCAUUGUGUCCCACGAGAUUGCGGGGCCAAACAAAUGAACACCCCUACGGGGCCAAACAAACCCCCGAACUGAGGUCAAAGAUCGACUUUGAUACCAUUUGUAACGACCCAUUCCCAACCGUGUAGAUAUUGUCUACUUUGGACCCAAAGGGGCCCUCAUAGCUUUAAAACGCAUCUACAGAGUUAAGAAAAGUCCAUACUUAUAUAGCGCCAAGAACUUUCCCCCCUAUCCAAUGUGGGAUGUCACAAACACCCCCAUCUCCCACCCUAUUAUAUAAAUAUAUUAUUAUUAUUAUUAUUAUUACUUUCAAAAGACCGUACAACACCAUUACUCCAAGCCACCAACUACACCCAUUAUUAUUAUUAUAAUAACAUCAUAUUUUUUUUCUUUUGUUUCUUCCUUCUUGGACAUCCACAUGCAUUUUUUUUUCUGUUUUUUUUUUUUUUUUUUUGUGACAUCCCACAUCAGAUAAGGGGAAGUUCCUGGCAUUAUAUAAGUAUGGACUCCCCGUAACCCUGUAGACGCGUUUUAAAGCCAUGAGGGCCCCUUUGGAUCCAAAACAGACAAUAUCUACACGGUUGGGAGCGGGUCAUUACAAAUGGUAUCAAAGCCAAUCCCCAAUCCUCGGUGCGGGGUUUGUUUGGCCCCGUAAGGGUGUUUGUCUGUUUGACCCCACAAUCUCGUGGGACAUUACAAGGUUGUUGUGUCUGCAUGGGGGUGGGGUGUUUGUGACAUCCCACAUCGGAUAGGGGGGAAAUUUCUUGGUGCUAUAUAAGUAUGGACUUCUCGUAACCUUGUAGAUGCAUUUUAAAGUCGUGAGGGCCCUUUUGGGUCCAAAACAGACAAUAUCUACAUGGUUGGGAGUGGGUUGUUACAAUUCACGGAUUUUUACACCCAAAAAGUUUUAAGCGGUUUUUUCAUGUUGCAUUUUGUGUCAUAUGUUUGAUUGAUUAUUCCUAUUCAAAGAAUUGAUGAAAAAUUAAUUAUAAUUGAUAUAGCUAGGUGUUUAGGAAUGUUUCUAUUUAAAGUGCUUUUAAUUGAAUUUUUUUAAGAAGAUUUUUUAAAGAAUCACAUCUCAAGAGCUUCUCCAAAAAGCAUUACAAGUGAUUUUUAACUUUUUAAAGAAUGUUUUCUAAGUUUUUCCAAGUGUAUAGUUUUUCUCUAAAAACAUUUUUUUUUUUUUUAAUACCAGAAGCGUUUUCUAAAAGUACUACUAAAUGGACUCUUAACUUUUAAGGAUAUUUAACUUAGACAACCCAUUCAUCCCCCUCACUAUAUAGUUUUGUGUCUCAAGAUAAAAGUUCUCUCCUUUAUUUUAACAUAAUCUUUGUUUGAAGAAUUGUUCUAAUUUUUACUUGACUUUUGUUUUUAAUAUGUCUUCCUAGGCUUUUAAUGAUCCCAUAAAUUGGUCAAUGGCUAUAGAAUCCAAAUAUUUAGGCUUUUCAAUAACAAAAAAAUAAAAGAUGAAAACUUUUUUUUUUAGUUACACAAAUAUCAUUAAACUUUCACCAUUUAUUUUUACCUAAUUUACAUAUGUCAAUAUUUUUGAAAAAUAAUCAAAGAUUAUCUUAUAUUUAAACUUUAAAAUUCACUUUUAAAAGUAUGAAAUUGAACUUUAAAAAAAAAAAAACACUUAUCAACACUUUUAUAUUUUUUGUAAUAUUUUUCAUGUUUCCUUUGACCUAGUUCCACUUAAAAUCAUUUCAAAGGUGUCUACAUCUAUUUCUUAAUAAAUGAGGUUAAAAGCCUUCUUGUCUUUCUUUCUUAUAUAUUCGAAAAGUCUAUUUAAUUUUGGGAUAGAUUGGUUUUAUCCUAUAGCUCCUUGUAGUUUUUCUCUACAAUCUCUUGUAUAUCUUGCAACCAAAUAAAACCUUUGUCUUGAUAUUCAAAUCAUCAAAAUUGUUAAAACUGUCUUUAUUGAGUUAAGCAACUUAAUUGGAUUACACGUCUUUUGAAAAAUAAAAUAAAAUAAGAAUCUUAUCAUACACAUAAAUUUCGUGAAAGUCUUGCAACAUAUAGGGGGUAGGCCUUGAAGUUACAGUGACAAUUUAUUCCACUAAAAAUUUUGAUCUCUACAUUGAUAUCACAAUUUUUUUUUUUUUGGGAGUAAUAGGGAUAAAUACACAAAUAAUAGUACUAUUAAAAGAGAUAAAUAGAGGAGGAAAUUCAAAGAAAUUUAUUGUGUUUUUAAUACUUUAAUUGAAGUAUUAUAUACAAAACUCCAAUUACAAUAUGUUUUAAUUCACUUUUAAAAACUAAAUCAAAUGUAAUUUUUGAAAACUUCUUGGAACUCAAAUUUAGAUUUCGACGUGUGAUUGAAUGAUAGGGAUGAUAAAAAAUAGGUAAAUAAAACAUAUGUAAUAUUAUUGUAUAUUAUUAAUCUCUUCCAUACCAUUAGCAUAUCAAUGGCAUCUUGCUAAGAAGAAGAACCACCAACAACAGUCCAUUAUAACAGUUUCGGAAUGAAUGACAUUUAUUUGUUUGUAUUCUAUUGUUUUUCUAUUUAGGCCAUAUUCACAUGAACUGACUUUUUGUUUGGAGUAGUGUUUUAGUAGAGUAUUCGUAGCACACCUAGAUAUAGCCUAUGGGUUGCAUUAAUUAAUGGUUUUGGCCCAACUUAACAAAAUUCUAUGCUAUCAUAAAGUAGCUGAUUGCCCAUGAUUGCGCAAUGCCAUCAUAAAGGAACUGAAUGCCCAACACACGUACAUGUGAGGUACCAUAUUUUUUAAGAAAGACAAGUCGGUUUGCAAUUGAUGUUAAUAUCUUUCCAAGGCAAAAACAUCAUUUUGUAGGUAUAAUUGAAUUUGUUAAACUUAAACCCCAAUUGACAUUCUUUCAAGUAAAAUCAUUUUUAACCUAUAAUGCUCAACACUUUUAUGAGAAUCAUAAAAGUAUCAGAAUCAUAGAGAAUUAUUGAAAGUGAUUUUGUAGUGUUGUUGAUAAUAUGUCACAUGACUAUAAAAAUGCUUUUAAUAUUAGUAGAUUAUAAAAAAGGACAUCAAAUUUAAUUUCAAGGAAAUAUUAUAAUAAACUAAUACUUUUUCAUGAUAAAAGAAUAUAUAAACAUUUAUAGUAAAAGAAUAUAUAAACAUCUAUAUAACUAACAAAAACUAAAAGAUAAUAGUUCUUGUGAUUAUAAGAAAAUUUUAGAAAAUAUUUGCAACAUGAUUUGGAUUAAUAAACAAACAUCAAUCAUAAUAUAAUAAUUUUUAAAACAAAAAAAAAUCAUUUGAUUAUUUAUUCACUUAAAAAUAAUAAUUUUUUAUUACUACAAAAUUUUGAAAAAUACUUACAAAAAAUCUAUAUUAAUAAUGAAAAAUUGAAUAAAAACAUAUUAGUUUAGUUUCUAAAAAAAAAAAUAGUAAUUAAAAGCAAAUUAGAAGACAAAUUUUCUCAUAGUAAAAAAAUGAGAAAAUUAUAUAUAUAUUUUUUCAUAUUAGUGUUAUAAUAAAACAUCAACAAGAUAUAAAAUGACUAGCAAUUCGAUCACAUUCUUCUUACAUCUCUCUUGCAUGAUAGAACCAUCUUUCUCAACUCAUGAGUCCACUCUACUCUUUUUUUUAUUAAAGCAGAUGUUACCCUUGAUCAUCAUCAUAAGGUUUAAAUUUCAUAUCUAUCCUAGCAUUAAUCAUUAUUAAGUUGUAAAAACCAUCAAAGUAAUAACAAUGUUGACUUAUUUUUCAAGAGGAAAACUAUGCAUUUCUCAUAUUGUUCCACAUCUAUUCUUCAAAAAGGCAAAUGUUCAAUUGUUCUCCUCAAAGAUGUCUAUGGUUAAAUAUUUCCUUCUUACCUCUUGGUAAACUACUCCAUCAAAAUCUAGAAGAUGGUAACACUCGCCCUUUAAGGGCCUAAUUAUAUAUCCACUCAUUUGAGGAUAACCACAUUGAGUAAAUAAUAUUUACCUACAAAACAAAAAAUACUUAUAUAUAAGAUUAUGAAAAUCUAAUCACAAAAGUAACUUUCACAUUUUUAGUCAAAAUCUCUAGAAGGAUGAGGAAAACCCAAUUCUAGCCUUUUUCUAAUGCCUAUGAAAAGACACAUGCAUCAUGAGCAAAACCUUCCCAUCUAGUCCCUUCAUCCGUGGUUGGUGCUAAGACCAUGUUCUAACACCAAUAAUUAUGACUCAAGGAGAAGAUGCAAAAUUGAGAGAACAAAUUUUUCUUAUUGAGAUUAUUUUUCCUUUUCUUUCCCCAUUACACUCUUCUUAUUUUAUAUAGGAAACUAUAUAGAAAUUAAAGAUUGAAAGAUCUUAGGGAUCCUUUAUUCCCUAAUCUAAAUAGAAACUAAAGAUUGAGGGAUUCUAAGAAUCCCUUAUUCAGGUUGAAACAUAAAAUUGAUCUACAGUUUCAUUGAGAGGAAAAUAAAUCAUUAUAAAAAACUAUCUAAAGUCAUAUUAUCAUUGUUUGAGAAGGAGAAUUGAUUCAAAUUUUAGUUGAUUAUAUAGUAGAAACUAAUUAUAUUGGUAGAUUUUUCAAGGGAUGUCCAUAUCUUCAUCUUCAUCACCAUCCAUUGAUGAAACCCUAGCCCUAACCUUAAAAUUAAAUCUAACCUCAAUUCCCAACUUCUCUAUCACUUCCCUUAAGACCCACCAUCACCAACCCAUCCUCUUUGGCUCUAAAAUCCUAGCAUAAUUCUGCUUCUAUCACUUCCAUUAAUCUCUAUUUACAACCUCAUCUAUGCCAUUACCUUUGCAUACAUAUUCCCAAAAAAUUAGUUUUACUUUUUGUAGAAAAAGGAGUUGGAGUUGGGGGUGAAAUCAUAGUAAUCCCAUUCUUAAUGGGUUAAUCAAUGAAUGAUAAUAAAAUGACAUUUCAGUAGAUAUUUAAAGAAAGUAAGGUUGAAAAAUAGUUAGAAUAAAAUUGUAUCUCUGCUUUUAGUAUAUAGUAUAGACAUGUCCUUGGUUAAAGACUAAGAAACAUGUGAUAAUAAAUAAAAUCCUAUUAAGAACUUGUUUAGUAGUAUUUUUAAGAAGAGUGUGUAGCAUUUUUAAUAAUUAAAAGAGUUUAUUUGGGUGAAAAAUAGAUGUUUGGCAAGAUUUCAAAAACACUUUUAAGAACCUUUAAAAGAAAAAAAUCACUUGAAGUAAUUUUUGGAAAAGCACUUGAGAGAUGAUUAUUUAAAAAAUACUUUUAAAAUUUUCAAAUAUAGCUAAAAUAACCCUAAGUGUUACCCAAUAACCCACUUUUUCCCUUUCAACAAGCAUUCUCUUUCUCCUUCACUCUCCAUAGUCCAAGCAGUCUUCUUCUACACUUUUCAUGAUUCCAAUUCUCACCAUUUUCUCAUUAACAAUGACUCUUUACAUCCAUAGUUGGAGGUACUUUCCGUUCCACAUUUCUAUUUAAUUACUUAGAAAAUGGAAGUAAAACAUUAUAUGAGUCUUUUGAUUACCUUGUUUUCCUUUGAUUAUAUUUUCUUAUAAAGUCCUUCUCAAUUUGUUAUUUUACUAUUAUAAUGUUUUUUCAUAAAAUUAAUUUUUUUGUGAAUGAUUGAAAUCAAAUUUUUGUGCACUGAGAUUCGUGCUUUCUCCUACCUAGACUCAAAUUUCAUGAAAUUUUUUUAUGGGUUGCAUCAAAAAAGAGAUGUGGAAAUGGGAGGGCAAUUAAUGAAGGAAAUUACAACUACUAGGGGUGAUAUAUUGAUUUGGUUUGUAAUUAGCUAAAAUCUAUGUUGUUUGUGUUAAUAGUUGAGAGUGAUUUAUGCCCAUGCGGAUCAAGAAAAGGUGAGGAAGGCAUUUGAUGAAAUGCCAAAUAGAGAUGUUAUUAAUUGGAAUAUAAUAUUUGAUGGGUAUGUUAAGGUAGGAGAGAUAAAUACAACAUUUGAGUUGUUUGAGAAGAUGACAGACAAGAAUGUUUUGUCUUGAUCCUUGAUGGUCUUGGGUUCUAGCAAUGCUAGAGAUAUGACUAUGGAAAGAAUGUUGUUUGAGAAAUUAUGUUUUGUAACCCUACUAAAUUGAAGGUUUGACAGGCCUAGAAAUGAUGGAAUAUCAUUAAAAUUCAUAGAAUCUGUAGGUUUUAGAAUCUAGAAGUGCUGGAAGCAACAACCAAAAGUUGUAUUUGAGACAACGAAAAUGUAUACUCUUAUUGAAUGAUCAAUGCAACAUUUAUACACAAGGUUGCAACAGAAAAAAAUAGAAAAGUAGCAAAAAUAAUUGGAACUAACAACUAUUUCCUAUAAAAUAGCAACAACAACAUAAUAACUCCAUGAAACUCUAUCAACUUCAUAGACUAAGUUGUUUUAUGCUUGCAACCUCAAUUUCAACAUCUCUUCACACCUCAACAACCUUCUUAACAGAUUCUUAAGCUUCCUUAGUUCACAACAACUUUCAUACGUUUUCCAGCAUGAUUGUAGCUACUUAGGCAUUUUUCUUAACACUCCUCCUUGGCUUGGGAGCUACAAACUCUAAGUAUUUUUGCUGCGAUAUUCAAACCUAGCUCUUGGUAUAGCUUUUGUUAGAAUAUCAACAUUUUGUACUUCUAUUUUACAAUGUACCAAAGUUACUUCUCCAUCAUGUUGUAUUUUCCUUAAGAAAUAAAACUUGAUUUUGAAGUGCUUUGUCUUGCCAUGGAAUACUGGAUUACUUGCAAUUGAAAUUGCAGCUAGAUUGUCAUCAAAGACUUGUGUGCUCCUAGUUUGCUCCAUGUAUAAGUCUAUUAGCAGCUUUCUUAUCUAAAGUGCAUGAUUUGCAGUAGCAGUAGCAAUGUACUCUGCUUCAACUGUGGAUUGUGCCAUGAUAUCCUCUUUUUUAGAGCACCAUGAGAAAAAACUUGAACCAAAACUAAAGCAAUAAGCUGAUGUGUUUCUCAUAUCAUCAACGUAGCUAGCCCAAUCACUAUAAGAAAAUCUAUGAAAAUGAAAAUUCUGCACCUACUUGAACUUGAUGCCAAAGUCAAUAGUGCUUUUUAUAUAUCUCACAAUACGUUUUGCUGCCUAUAAGUGAAUUUCCCUAGAACAAUGCAUGUAUCUUGAGAUUAAACUUACAACAUGUACUAUAUCUGGCCUUGUUGUAGUCAAAUACAUCAAGCAUCCAAUCAUGCUUUUGUAUAACUCUUCAUUUACUUUUUCAACACCAUCUUCUUUGCAAAACUUUUCUUUUUGAUUCAUAGGUGUAGUUGUGGGCUUGCAUUUCUCCAUCUUGAAUUUUUUUAGAAUUUCCUUUACAUACUCCUAUUGACAGAUGAAUAUCUCAUGCUGAUUUUGAUGCACUUCCAUUCCAAGGAAAUAAGACAUGUCUCCAAGAUUUGUCAUCUCAAAGACCUUCUCCAUUUCAUCUUCGAAUUUAUCCAUUAAUCAUUGAUUGCUUCCUAUUACAAGCAAAUCAUCAACAUAUAAUGAAAUAAUAAGUAUGCCAGCAUUAAUUUUUCUAACAUAAAGUGUGGAUUCACUUUGACUUUUUUUAAAUCCCAAACCAAGCAGAUGUACAUUAAUCAUGUUGUACCAAGAUCUAGAGGCUUGCUUCAAGCCAUACAAGGCUUUCUUUAGUUGAUAAACCUUGUCUUCUUUGUCUUUUAUUGCAAAUCCUUUAAGUUGCUCCACAAAGAUUUCCUCCUCAAGGUAGCCAUUUAGAAAAGUUGAUUUUACAUCUAGCUGAUAGAUUUUCCAACCCUUUUGAGCAGCCAAAGCUAGCAACAUUCUUAUUGUAUCCAACUUAGCUACAAGUGCAAAGGUUUCUAAAAAUUCCACACUGAACAUUUGAGCAUAACCUUUGACAACCAGCCUGGCUUUAUGUUUGUUUAUAGAACCAUCAUAAUUGAGUUUGGUUCUAUAAACCCACUUGACACCAAUGGCCUUUUUAUGUGUUGGUUUGUCAACUAACUCAUAAGUGUUGUUUUUAUCUAUCAUGCUAGCUCCUCCCACAUUACAACCCUUCUUUUUUUUUUUAUCCUCAAUAGUUUCAUUAAACUUUAUAGGCUCAAACACAGCCACAUUACACCUAUGAUAAAUAUCAAAAAGUGAUUUGGUGCUUCAUACAGGAAUGUCACCAAUAUUUUCAUCAAGGAACUCAAAGUUCUGAUUUUUUUAGCAUCCCAACUCCAUUUAUCAUCCUCCAUGAAUUUGACAUCUAUGCUAACAAUGACUUUGUUAGCAUGAGGCAUAUAGACGCUAUAAGUCUUUGAUUGGUUGUUGUAUCCUACAAAGAUCCCAAUUUCUGCCUUUUUAUCUAACUUGUCCUAUUUCACCUGAGGCACAUAACUAAAACAAAGGCAACCAAAUGUUUUUAAGUUUAAUGACAGAGGUUUAUAUCCAAACCAAGCCUUGAAAGGAGUCUUUUUUUGCAAAGCUUUAGUUGAGAGUCUAUUCAGUAGAAACACUACAGUGUUUGCGGCUUUAGCCUAGAACUUUUUUGGUAGCCCUUUCUCAUGCAAAAGGCAUCUUGUCAUCUCCAUUAUAGUCCUAUUCUUCCUCUUUUCCACUUCAUUCUGUUGUGGUGUGUAAGGUGCAGUCAGUUGGUGCUCUAUGCCUGCUUCUUCAUAGAAAUUAUUGAAUCUUUCAGAAGUAUAUUCAGUGUCAUUAUUUGUCCUUAUAACCUACAUGACGACACCACUUUGGUUUUCUACUAGGGCCUUGUACUUCUAAAAUACAUCAGCAACCUCAAAUUUAAAAUUUAGGAAAAAAUCCAACCAUAUUUGGUAUAAUCAUCUAUAAAGGCAAUGUAGUACUUACUGUCCUUUAGAGACGGUGUUCUCUAAGGUCCUCCAACAUCAGUGUGUACAAGUUGCAGCUUGUGUGAUUAUCUCCAUGUAGAUUUCUAUGGGAAAGGAAGUCUGGAUUGUUUUCCAUACUGACAGGCUAUGCAAGUAGGAAGAUUUUGCUUUAGGUCAGGUAUACCUACUACAAGUUGAUUUUUCUUCAUGUAAAGCACUCCAUUAUGAUGAAAGUGCCCCAAUCUCUUAUGGCAUAAAGCUCUAACAUUAUUUUCUUGAGAAACAGCAGCCUACUCUUUCUCAAGCAAAUUCAAGGCAAAGUUUUUGCCUCUCAUCUUGAUCUUGAAUACAUUUUUUCCAUUUGCAUCCUUGAUCAUACAGAACUUGUCCUCAAAUAGCACCUUGAAACCUUUCUCAAGUAGCUGCCCAACACUCAAGAGAUUUUGAUCAAUAUUAGGAACGAACAAAACAUUAGGGACAAGUUUCAAACCUGAGAGACUUUCAAUGGCAACAGUCACUUUGCCCCUUGCUGAGAUGUAUUCCCCAUUUCCAAUUCUUACUUUGGAAACGAUUGUUUUUUCAAGUUCCUUAAAAAGUCCUUGAUCAUAAGUCAUGUGGUUUGUGCAGCCACUAUCUAUUAGCUAACUUUCAGACAUGUUUUUGCUAGCAAAACAGGUGGCAACAAACAACUAUUCUUCGUGAUAUUGAUCAACAACUGUAACCUUGAUCUCUUUUUCUUGUUUUGUUUUGCAUAUCUCCUCCAUAUGACUUAAUUGACCAUAAUUGUUGCUCUUGACAUCUGGCCUCCACCAGCACUUUUGUGGAGGAUGAUUUGUUUUUUUGCAAUGAGGGCAAGGUGGAUGGGCUCAUUUCUUAUUCUUUUUGUUAUUGCUUGACUUGUUUUUCUUUCUGUCUUUGUUGGAAUCAUUGUUUUGUGAUUUGGCUUGGAAUGCUCCCUCAACAUAUCCUUUUUGUCUCAUCAUUCUCCUUUGUUCCAAGGCCUGCAAAGCAUUAACAAUUUUUGCCAAAGAUAUACUUGACAAAUCUUUAGAGUUUUCCAAGGAAGAGAUUGUGGCUUUAUAUUUUUCAGGCAGAGUUCCUAAGAUUUUCUAAACAAUUCUUUCAUUAGAAAAUUCCUUACCAUACAAUCUUACCUUGUUUGCUAUGCUAAGUAGUUGUUCAGCAUAAUCUUUGAUAGUUUGAGACUCUUUCAUUAUGCUUAUUCCAAAUUCUCAUAUUAAAUUCAUUACCUGCAUAUUCUACACCCUUUCAUUCCCCUGAUACUCAUUUUUUAGAUACUCCCAGAUUGCUGCAGCAGACUCCAUUUGCAUGAUUCUGGUGAGAAUGGAAGGUGAAACUAUAGAGAAAAGGUAACCAUUUCCUUGUUUUUAUUUCCCUAUGAAUCUUCAUUUGAUUGAUACUUGGAUUGUCUCCAAGUGGUGGUACUUCAUAAUCUUCUUCUAUUGCCUCCCAAAGAUCCAAAGCUUCAAGGUGGACUAUCAUUCUAAUAGCCCACGCCUGAUAAUUAUCACCGUUGAAAACUGGUACUGACAGAAAGCUUGUAUCUCCAUCCAUUUGCUAUAGAAUGAUAGUUACAAGCUGUUAAAGGUUGUGUGUUUAUGUUGGCUUUGGAGUUCAGUACGUGUGAAGGUAUUUUGGCUUCACUCAAUCCUCACAGGUCCCUUAAGAUAGAAGGCUUUGAUACCAAUCUGUAGGUUUUAGAAUCUAAAAGUGUUGGAAGCAACAACCAAAAGUUGUAUUUGAAAUAAUGAAACUGUCUACUCUUAUUAAAUGAUCAAUGCAACAUUUACACACAAGUUUGCAAUAGAAAACAAUAGAAAAGUAGCAAAAAUAACUGGAACUAAGAGCUAUUUCCUAUAAAAUAGCAACAGCACCAUAACAGCUCCAUGGAACUCUAUUAGCUUCAUUGACUAAGUUGUUUUAUGGUUGCAGCCUCAAUUUCAGCAUCUCUUCACACCUCAGCAACCUUCUUAAUAGAUUAUUAAGCUUCCUCAGUUCACAACAACUUUCACACGUCUUCCAUCACGUUUGUAGCUACUAAGGCAUUUUGCUCAACACUUGCCAAACCAACAAGAUUUUAAUCAUAAGGUCAUUAGUAAAGGAUUUGAUAAUUUGGCAAUGAAAAUGAUGAAUUUUAUUGUUUCUUUUAGAAAAUUUAUACAAGAAUGCAUUGUGAAUUAUACAAAGAAAGAAAUAACAAGUAUCCUAAAAUUAAGGAAAAUAAAUAUUAUUUCCUAAAUUAAGAGAAUAAAAUAUUAUUAAUAUUUGAUUGUUCGUUAUUUAUUUAAAAUAAAUAUUAUAUCCUAAAUUAGGAGAAUCAAAUAUUUUAAAGUUUCAUUACCCUUUAUUUAUGAAAAUAUUAAUUGAAGCGGAUUUUUAUCAUCCUACGUGUUGCCAUCCUAUGUGCUUUUUGUCUUAUUUUAUUCUUUCCCUUAAUAUGCAAGCUCAAAUUGGCGUGGGAAAGAAUAUGCACACCUAGCUUAUCUCAAAACAUGAUGAAUAUAUCCUUUGACAAGGACUUGACAAAAUCAUAAAAGUAUAUUUUUUUUUAAAGAAUUGUGACACAUAGAAAGCAUUAAGCUUCUUCCUCUCAAAUUAAAAUUUAUGCAUUUUCAACCAUUAUGACCAUAACUAUGUUGUCCAAAUAAAAACUUGUGCAUACCCUAUUAAAAUUUUCUUUUCAUCCCUUUGGUGGUGAGUAAUUGCUUAUGUCCCUAAAGAGUUGCUAUGAAUUGGUUAGAAAAGCAUAGUAGUUUAAAAAAAAAAAUUCAUUCUAUUAUCCUAAACCAUGAGUGAAUCAACAAACUUUGUUUUGGUCUGAAAUUAACUUUUGAUUGUCGUGAGAUUAUCAUAUAUAUUUUUAAAAUCUCUUAAAUAUUCUUGAAGAGAUCAUUUUUUUUUUCAACUAUAAUAGGAAUCAAUUACUCCUUAAGAGAAGUUUAUACCUUAUAUAUCUUAUUAGCCCCAAGGAUCAUAAUGAAAAUGUCUUUUGUCAUGGUUCUGAGAACUCAUGAAGUGACAACUAUGUUAUUAUUAAUUGAUUACUAGUCUUGUAGGAUAAACCUUUUGCUUUCCUCAUCAUCUUUAAUUCUUUAGUAGGUCUUUCUCCACCUAAGAGAUGUCGGAGAACACACCAUGAACUAAGAGGAUGAUUUGAUUUUGCCAUAGUAGAAAAUUUAUGGUGUUUAACUUGAUUGAAAUCAAACUAGAAAUAACACCAAUGAAAGGGUAAAACAUUGAUGAAAGGUUCGAACACCGAAGCCACAAGCUGAGAGGAUGAUUUGAUUUCCCCAUAGUAGAAAAUUUGUUGUGUUUAGCUUGAUUGAAAUCAAAUUAGAAAAAAUGUUGAUGGAAAGCUAGAGCACUAAGGAUUUUAUUUUAUUUUAUUUUAUUUUAUUUUUGAAUGAAUGAAUGAAGAGGAAGACAUUGUUUGUGUGGAUAGGUCAAGUCUUUUAGGGUAUUCAACCACCUUUGGAGAAAACCCAAGUUUGAGCCUCCUCCUCUAACUCUAAUACCAAGAAGAAUUUUAUAAUUUGAAAAUAGACGCAUUGUGAAUUAUGGAAGAAAUAAAUAAUAAAUAUCCUAAAAUUAAGGAAAAUAAAUAUUAUUUCUUAAAUUAAGACAAUCAAAUAUUAUUAAAAUUUGAUUGCUCUUGAUUUAUUUAGAAUAAAUAUUAUAUCCUAAAUUAGGAGAAUAAAAUAUUUUAAUAUUUGAUUACUCUUGAUUUAUGGAAAUAUUAAUUAAAGUGGAUUCUUAUCAUCCUAUGUCCUACCAUCCUACGUCUUGUCAUUUUGUGCCUUGUCCCAUCAUCUUGUGCCUUGUCCCAUCAUCUUGUGCCCUACCUUUCUCCUCUUUUAUUUUUUUCCCUUAAUAAGUAGGUGUGGAUUAGUCUAAAUAAUGUAGCAAUCUCAAGUAUAUAUAUUCUCCUUAAAAAUAGGGUCUUGGAGUUGUUUGCACCUAGGGAUGACAAAGUUUGAUACGAGUCCUGGCAUAACACAAACCUAACACGCUUUUCAUGGGUUUGGGUCAAUUAUAAAUGAGUUUAGGUAAAAUUUGUGUCGACUUACAUAACUCAUUUAAUAAAUAAGUACUUUUUUGGUCAACCUGCAUAACACGAAUUUGACCCGAAUGAACCUAUUUAAUAAUCCCGCUAGUAACUUAAUUAUAUUUUUAAGACGUUUGACCCAUAUUUGACUCAUUUUAAAUUUGUUUCUAAAUAGAUGGGUCAAUUGAGCCAAAAACAUCUUUUCUUGAGAUAUUAAUCAUAUAGACAUAUAGAAGACCUAACUUAAUCUGAUUAUUAAAUAGUAGGACCUAAAUAUUAAAUAGAUUAAGUGGGUUGUACAAUGUGUUACAUGUUUAAUAAUUAGAUUGUAUUUAGGUUUAUAUUUUUGAUAUGAUUAUUAGUAGUGUCGGGGUUGGGUUGAGCUAUGUAGUAGAAUACCUAGGCUUUGACACAACACAAACACUAUCCACCAACAUGAAUUGUCACCCCCAUUUGCACCUCAAUCAUGGAUAUGCCCAUCUUAAGCUUCUAAUGCCUUUUAAUAGUUUUCUCUUCUUUCUGUUUUUUCUUUCUUUUCCUUUUCCUUUUUUCUCCCUUACACUUUUUUUCCCACUUUAAAAGUUUAGGAAUUAAACCUUGAGUCCCGAUAAAUUGUAAUUGUAAAAAACGUUAAUCUUUUCUCUUUGAUUUAAUAUGUGAAGAAAUAUGUAAGCUUUAGGAAAUUCAAAGUACACUCAUAUUAGAUUUGAAGUUAAACUAUACCCAUCUAUUCAAUAAAAGUACUAAAUAAGAAGUGGGUUUUGCAAAUUUUAACUAUGUUGGAUGAGUAAAAUGCUAUCUGAAAUUAUUACUUGGUCCUCAUUUCAAGUGUCCACUAGCACCCUAAUUUUGUGUCAAUCCAACACUUAAUACUAUUAAGAAAUCCAAAUCAUUUCCUCCCUUUGCUUUAAUUCAUGGAGUUGGAAAAUGUAGUGAAAUAUUAACAAUUAUCUUAAAUUUAAUGAUUGACAAUUUUAACCAUUCAUGUUAUCUCAUACUCUAAUUACUUAUUUUCCUCCUAAAUCCUCUUCCAUUUAUUUUAAAAAAAUUAUACUAAUUAUGCAUAAUUUAAUAUUGAGAUAUCUCAUUUGCCUCUUUGUUACUAACAAUACUAAAGUUCAUAUAAAGCCUCUUAUCCUUAAAUCUUUCCACUUUUCUACCAUAGUUUCUUACAUUAUUUAAAACAUGUUUCAUUUCUUAUAUUGGUAACAUUAAAGUUAUAAAAACAAAACCAUGAAAGAAUUUAUUAGAUGAUAUUUAAGUUCAUUGAGUUAAUUCAGUACUUCAUAAUGAGGCCAUGAUUGGAUUCUUUCAUGAGGAAAGUAUUUAAUCCAUUUCAUGAGGAAUUCUUUUUCAAAUUUUAGCAACCUAAUGAAAAGAAUUAAUAAAAUUACGAUAUUGUAUAUUAAUUUAUUCCAUGAAUGUGAGUCUUUCCUAUUCAGUAUUCCGAGAUUCAUUUUCCUCUAGUUGACCCAUUUCUUUAAGGUUCACUUUUUUAUGGGUCUCAUUAGAUGUCUAAACUAUAAAAUAUAAAAGUACAUUGACAACAUUUGCUUUUAAUACUUCUUUGUUCUUUACUUUGUUAUUAGAUUUCUAGCAAUAUAGUUCAACCACUACAACAAACAAGUGGUAAAGAAAAUGAUCAAUAAAGCAAAGUAGAUUGAAUGAUAUUGUUGUUAAUGCAUAUCUCACAGUUUGUGUUGCUAAGAUUUUGGCUAAAAAUAGACCAAAUAGUCACUUUAGUAAAUUGGAUGGAAAAAAGUGAUAAAGGUAUUCAACAAUCUACCUAGAAGAACCUACCUAUAUAAGCAACCUAAGAAUAUAUUAAGUUCUCUUAAAAAAGAUUGACAACUUUGGAAUGCCUUGAUUCAGAAAAAGAUUGGCCUUGGGUGGGAUCCUAUGAGGCAAACCACUAAUGCUAAAAAUGAAUGGUGGGAUAAUAAAUUGAAGAUACAUUUUUAUUUAUUUACUAAGUUUAUUUAGUUAAUUUAUAUUUUGGUCAUGAAAUAUAAUAAAUUGAAUUGUUUUGUAGGAGAACCCCAAGGAAAUAAAUUUCACAGCAAAAUGAGAGAAGAAGAAAGAAGAUAAGAGAUGGAACCAAAUCUUGUGUUUUGACUAUGCAGUUAGAGGCCAUUUUUAAAGUUACAUCUAGGGUAGAUAAGCCUGGUUAUAGCAUUGUUAAAGUAAUAAAAGUUAUAUGUGGCAUGCUUGAAGUGAAGAAUGACCUUAAGUUGUAUAUGAAAGUCACAGUUAUUCAAGUUGUCAAGGGAAAUAAGGAGAUGUUUCUAGCAUUAGAAAACUCAAUUGACCAAAUUGCAUGAAAUAAGCAGAAAUAUGUUUCACUAUUUGAGUUAUUUCUUAUUCUAAUGUUGAAACAUAUUUUGCUACCUAAUAUUGUUUUAAAUUAGAUUUGUAUGUUGGUAUUGAGUAAACUUUUUGAGUGAGGAAGACAUAUAUGUCUAUCACAUGGUAUAUUUAAUUGUUUCUUUCUCUAAAAGUUGUGACUAUUAGAUGACCUUUAUAAUGUAUUUGAUUUCACAACACAACACUUUUGAAUCUAAAAUUUUGUCUCAGUCAAGUUCCUAAUUAGAUGAGCUUUAUAAUGUAUUUGAUUUCUCAACACAACACUUUUGAAUUUAAAAUUUUGUUUAGUCAAACUAUUAAGAAUAGAAAUGGAUUGAAAAUAGGGGUGUUAUAGGAGGAGUCCUAUCCUAGGGUGACCCACAUGAGCUAGAUUAUUAUUAUUAUUAUUAUGGAAAAAUAGAAUUAUAUGAUUACAUGUAUUUCUACUCUUACUACUUUUCAGGCUAUUAUUUUUCAUACUACUACUACUCUUGAAUUUGCAUGUUCAAAUAAAUUUUUAAAUAAAAAAUCCUUUUAUUUUAGUAAACAUGAGUUAGUUUUAGCUAUAUUAACAUAAAAUAUACAUUAUUAGUUUUUUUUAAUGUAUUUCUUAUUUUUAUUUUUUGUAUAUAUGUUUUCUAAUUAUAAUAAUAGUUGCAAUCAUAAUAUUAAAGAUGAAAGCAAUGGUGAAAUGAUUUUAAUCAAUUGGUGUUGGUUGGAUGUGUUGUACCUGUAAUACUUACUAACUACAAAAAAAAUAAAAAUAAAAAUAAAAACCUUGUAGUACUUUUUCAAAAUUAGAGUUGAGCAAUUUAGAAUGGAAAAACAUGUAUGCAUUAAUUAUUAGAAACACUUAUUAAAAGGCAUGGUCUAAGAGAAGGUUUAGAUAUGCCCUUAAUAGAGGCUUUAGCAAUGUUUCUCACUACAAUAGGUCAUAGACUUGGCAACAUGACGACCUAAGAAAGAUUUUAGCACUCCAAUGAAUUUAUUUCUAGAUGUUUUGAGAUUAUAUUAGAUGUUGUUUGUCUUAUAGCUAUGGAUAUUAUAAAACCAAGUGAUUCAUAGUUUAGGGUAAUGGGUACAGUGCCUCAAUCAAUAGAAGCAAGAUAGACUAUCACUCAUAUGACAUAAACUCCAUUCAAACCAGGUUUUCCAAACUCAAAUAUCAAAUUUUGAAGGUGAGAAUUGGGAAUUAGGAAAAUGUAGGAUUGGCUUCCUUACAUUUAAAAGGAAGGGCCUUAGAAAGGUUUCAAGGGUACGAGGCUAGUAACAAGGAAAUCAAAUGGACACAAUUUUAUAUAGAUGUUGUUUCUAGGUUUAGCCCUAGUGUUUAUGAUAACCUUAUGGGGUAAAUAACCAAAUUGAAAUAGGUUUCUACGGUUAUGGCCUACAAAAAUUAUUUUAAAGUAUUGAUGACCAAAACGAGUGGGUUAUCAAAGGAAUUUUUUAUCUAGUGUUUCAUUAGUAUCUUGAAAGAGGCAAUUAAAAAUCAAGUCACCAUGUUUCAACCGAUCACACUAGCCCAAACCAUCGAGUUAGUCUUGUUGCAGAAAUGAAUAGUGGAAGUAAUUCUCAAGGAAGUCAAGGACUCUAAUGAAUGUGGGGAUAGUACAAUGAACUUUACAAGAAUCAUAAUGAAUCAUAAUAACAAAUUACCACCUCUUAAGAAGAUUUCAGUUGUAGAAGUGCAAGAGAGAUGAAAAAAAGUUUUGUUAUUAUUGUGAUGAGAAGUAUGAGUCUGGCUAUAAAUAUAAAAUGAGACAAUUUUUUCUAUUAAAUGGUCAUUAAAGUGAAGGGAAAGCAACAUGUGAAGCUAAAAAUGAUAUCAGGAGGAUGAUCUUGUGGCUUUAAUCAAUGCAAUAUUUGGUUCAACAUCUCAUCAAACCAUGAGAAUCCGUGGCAACAUAAAAAAGAAGGUCGUGACCAUACUAAUUGACUUAGGAAGCACCCAUAACUUGAUCUCGUAGUGGCCAAAAGAACAAGAUGCUCAAUACAAACUACCAAGCCCAUGAAGGUGGCAAUAACAAAUAGAACUAGAAUUACUAGUGAUGCAAUUUGUAGGCAAUGUUAGGAUAGACCCCUUAAAAGCAUGACAUAAUAUAAUAAAUUUGGAAUUAAUUAUUUAUUUAAUGAUAUUCUAGUUUCACUUUUAUCUAUCCUUAUUCCAUGUAUUAUACUUUAUAAGCUUUUUUGUCUACAUCUUUUGCAUUAUACGUGACUUAGGUGCAUUGGGAGUUGCACAGAAGAUCUAAGUCAUGAGUUCCUUGCAAAUAGAUGACUUGUUCACAACCAAUUCAUGGGUCUAGGCAAUCCAUUAGAGGUUUUAGUGCACCACUUCCUAAUUAGAGGGAUAACUGGUCUUGGCUAUUGGGAUGUGUUUCCCAUGAUGAGUGUACUAAUAUGUAUGGAUGCACAUUGGACAGGACCGAUGGUGAGUUAUGACUUAAGGCUAUCAAGUAGUCAUGACUUCACCAAGUUGUUUCAUUAUGUUAUCUCUCAACCUUGAGAGAAUAUUGCGUUUGUGUUGAAGUUAGUAGUGCCUUUGAUCUACGGGUGAAAUCGUAAACUAAUCAUAUACUCCUUAUGGAUUGGAUCACUAUUGAUGGAUGCUAGUAGCAAUAAGUAUUCUAAAUAGAGACACCAUGAUAUCUCUUAGGAAUAAGACAGUGUGUCUCCUCGGGUGAUCCUAAGGAGGUGUGUUCAUGGAAACUAUGGUCAUAAUAGUUCCUUAGGUGGAACUUGAUAUAGGCUCUUUGAAAGCUAAGAUAUGUCAAUUGAACACACAAUAGGAGAAUCUGUAACUCAAGAAUGGUAGAGGUAGUCUUAAAAGGAUUAUAGCUUUCACUUUGUUAGACUACAAACACCAAUUCAUGGGGAAACUAAACACAAUGGAUAGUAGGUCAUGGACCCGAGCACUUGGUGUCUUAUUAUUAUUUACAUAGGAUAUUUGAGUUCAGUUGAUUCUUUAUAGUGGGAUGUUGAAUCAACUUUAGAAUUGGAUUAUGAGAGAACUGGUAUUUCUAUGGGUCCUAGUGGUCCCUAUUUUGAGCUCAUAUACCUUGUUGGCACAGAUUAUGAGGGUCAGAUUUGCUUUAGGUUCACUUUUGUACAUAAGGGUGUUUUGGUAAUCACACAAGGUUGCAUAAAGGUAAGUGAGCAAGGUAUUUGGAUUGGGCUAAUUGAUUAAUUAGUAGGCCUUAUUAGGUUAACUAAUCGAUUAGGACCCAUUUUGGGAUAGAUUAAGGGACCCAAGCCCUUAGUGAACUCAAGUCACUUAAGCCUAGUAGGAAACCAUAUAAAUACCCCCUUAGGGGUUAAGGUUCCCAUUGUUUUUUCUAGAGAUCCAUCUUCCAUCUCCACAGAGAGAGAGAGAGAGAUUCAUAGCAUGUACUCUUCCUUCUAUCCCCACCGAAAGUGUGUCAAGAUCAAGUUUCGAGUCAUCGAGCGGAAGACUUCAAGUUUAUGAGACUUCUAUGAUUUCGUUCUUCAUCUUCACCACGUAGAUUUGAUUUAGAAACAUCCGAAUCUAAGGUAUGGAUUUUGUUUGCACUUUUUGAAUCCCUUUAAAGUUUAAAAAUGUUAUUUUUCCAUUGUGCAAAGGAUUUAGAAAAAGCCUAGGGUAGUUAUGCAUAUUCCUAACUUGAUCCGAUCAUAGGAAACGAAUAGAUCCUAGUUUUUCCCAUUAGGCAAUUGACAUGGAACAUGCAAGGGAAGAAAUUUUAGAUAAAUUUGAGGCUCAUCCUUUUGAGUGGGUGCGAUAUGGUAUUGGGAAUUCAAUGGCUAGAUGAAUUGGGAAUUCAAUGGCCAAUUGAAUUGGGACUUAUAUUAUGGGAUUUCAAGAAUUUAAAAAUUGAAUUUAUUGUUGAUGGAAGAAAAUUCGUGUUAAGAGGUACAACUAUAGGUCCUAAGAAGUUAGUUUCAACAAAUCAAAUUCAAAAUGAUUUAAGGCAUAUGUCUCAAGCAUCUACAAUUCAAAAUUUCACUAUACAAGGGAAUGAGGAAAAUAAAGUUGAAAAUGAACAACAUGGCAACUGUCCAACUCAUUUCCAAAAAACGUAACAUAGAAAGUUGCUUACUUUCACCAAAAGUUUCCAUAGUUUCAACCUUGAGGACAAGGCUUCUUUUGAUGGAGGAGAGAAUGUUACAACCUUGAAUAAAGGAUCCCUAGGAUCCCUUAAUCUUUAGUUUCUAUUUCUACUUAGUUUUUACUUCUGUUUAGUUUCUAUUUAAAUUGGGGAAUAAAGUAUCCGUAAGAUCCCUAAAUCUUUAGUUUCUAUUUCUAUUUAGUUUCCUAUAUAAAAUAAGGAAAGUGUAAUGGAGAAAAAAAAAUGAAAAAAUAAUCUCAAUAAGAAAAAUUUGUUCUCUCAAUUUUGCAUCUUCUCUUCAUAUCAUAAAAUUCUGCGUGUGGAUUUUCUCCUUCUAAAUCUCUAUAUAAUACAAAAUCAAUUCUUUUUUACUCCAAUUCCAAGUAUGUAUUUACAGAAAUGGGUAUGCUUUGACUCUCAAUGAACACAUUUUUUCAAUUUUUCUACCUACCUAAGUGGAAAUAACAUAAGGCAACUAAACUUGCUUUGAGAUUAAUUGUGGUUUUGACGAUACAAAACUAGGUAUAGUACAAGACCUCCUAAACAAAGUUUCUAGCAUUAAUGAAUUCAAAAGAAGCUGGGUAAAACAAGUUUCUACCGACCAUCCCAAACAUUCCUUUAGAUGUAUUGUAUGGUAGAGGAUUAUUCUUUAUUAUUAUUAUUAUUAUUAUUAUUAUUCUUUUUUCUUUUUCCUUUUAAUGGUUUGGAGCAUAUUCAAAUGGAAUUAUAGAAGUAGAAUUUCCUAAUUUAAUUUGUUGAACAAAUUUGUUUUGGUUUUGCUAUAUUUUGUGUUUUGAAUACUUAGAAAUUGAAAUAUAAUAAGAUAACAAUUAUAAUGUGUUUUUAAGGGAAAAAUGUUUUUAUCUUCUAUAAUUUAAAAAAAAAAAAAAAAACCAACACCAACAACUACAAUAAUAUAGACAUUGCAAUUUUUUUAAAAGUGUCUCUGUUAGGACAUUGAGUUUUAUUUGUAUGUUGCCAAUUUUGUUCCAAUUUAUUUUUUUGCCUUAGAAAUCUUUUUAGAUAGUGACUUACUCUCUAUUGAAGAUCAAGGAUUGCUACUUGUCCAACUGGAAAAUCACAGGCAUGUCUAAAAGAUUUGACUUGUGGCAAAUUAGGGUUCUAAAGGGUAUAAAGAGGAUCGUUAUUCUUUUUUUGGAAUAAAAUUGAUUUUUAUUUAACUUUGUCAAAAAGGCAGCAUUGCUCGAGCAAGGAAUAGUACUCAAGCGCUGGGACUGCUCAAGCACUUGACUAGCGCUCAAAUGCCCAAGUUGCUCAAGCGAUGGUUAAGUGCACUUGGCCUCGAGCUCUCGAGCAUUCAUACCAAUUCUGCCAAAGAUUGGCAUAAUAUUUUUGGAGAUUUCAUGCAAAUCCUUUUUGGAAACCUUGAGAUACCAACUCUCUUCAACCUUUAAGCCUAUAUAUACCCCAUUAUGGCCAUUCUAAAGUUAGGAGAUUGAUUUAUUAUUGCCAUUGAUACAGAGUCUCCUAGAGAGAAAGCCUAAUGAACCACACAAUUCCUAAUCUCUCAUUUGAAGGAUUCAUUAGAUAAUCUAGGGUUGAAAACUUGCAUCCCUUCAGUAAGGCUCAAGAGUACUUAGUGGAGGAAUUAGAGAUUAUUGCAUCACAGUCGUUGAUGAAGUUGUAGGUAUUAGAGGGUAAGUCUUUAGGAUAAAACGACCAGGUAAAUUUGUGUAACUUGAUCUUGUAUAGUGGAUUUUGAUUAGCAGUCUUAGACCUCGUGGUUUUUUAUCUCCAUAGUAGUGCGGGGAUUUUCCAUGUAAAAAUCAUUGUGUCCAUUGUUAUAUCUUAUGAUUAUCAUGAUUGUUUAGAUUUUGUUUAUCUCUAAUAUUAUCUCACAGGGUAAAAAUUGAGUAUAACAUAUAAUCUUUAUUUUAGAAUUCUUUUAAUUACACCCAUUCACCUCCCUCCUCUCUUUGGGUGUUACCAUACUAGACUUGGCUUUUUCAGUCUCAAAUUCUACAUUAGCAUUUUUUUACUUAAGUUAUAAAUGGAAAAAGUUAUAAACCCAAGAUAACUUGUUAAAAAAGUGAGAAAUAAUAAAGGACUCGUGUUAGAGUAUAAAUAAUUAAUCUAUUCUAGGCUUAAUAUAGCUCCAAUGUCAAACAUGAAUACUUAAUUAUUUAUUAUAUUUUGAAAAUAAAGUAAGUAUUUUUUAUAUAAAAAACGAAACAACUUUUCUAGAACAACACAAGACACUAAUGCAUAUAGUUGGUAACAAGUUGGAGAAAGAAAAUAAUGUGGAGAAAUAAAACAACAUGUAGAAAGAAACAAAUUGGAGAGAAAGAAAAUGACUAACAAAAAAGAAAAUAGAGAAAUUAUAGAAUAUAAGAUAAUUAAACUUAUUUUCAUAAAAAUAAUAUAUUUUUGAAAAAUAGAAAAUUUCAUUCAUAUUCUCUUUUUCACUUAUUUUAAAAAUAAAAAUAAAAAUUAAUAUUUAUCAAAUGCAAAUAUUAAUAAUUAUAAAAUUAAUAUUUAUCAAAUAUAUAAGAUUAAGAUUGAGAUAUAAAAUUUUUAUAAUCUAAACUAUUAUUUUCAUUUUAAACAAGAAAGUUCGAUGUGACAUAAUAAAAUUUGUACACAAAAUUUAAAUUAUCUCUAUUCAUAUAGAAUUAUAUAUAGGUAUAGAUUCAUUUCAAAAUUCAAAUAAUUAUUUGAAUUUUACAUUUAAAUUUUAUUUUUAAAUUUAAAACUUAAUUAUUUUGUAAUAGGGUAUGUGUCAUAAAAUUGAAGCUUAUAUAUAUAAAUGCCUCCACUUCCAUACCUCUCAUAAAAUUGAAGCCUACUUUUUUGUUUUCUUUUGUGUGUUUAUAAAUGUCUCCAAUUCCAUAUCUAGCUGUGAUAUAGUUUUGUAGAUGAUUGUGAUUGAAGUAUAAUAUCUUUUGAUUUUAAUUUUAUAAGAAUUAAAAAUCUUAUCUAAGUUUGAUUAUUAUUUUAGUUUUCUAAAAGUUCAGAGUAUUACAAAGAAACUGUUGGGUAGAAAGAUGUGUCACUCCAUACAUAUAUAUUUAAAAAAAAAAAAAAAAAACACAAAGAAAGACAACAAUAGAUGAAAAUUAUUAUUCAUCUGUUAUGUCAGUGCAAGAUAUGAAAGAGAAGAUAGCAGCGUGCGUCUUCACUGUGACUGAGUAUCAAAUUCUCUUUGAGAUUGAUAUAGUUUCAUUGUUCGUGGAGAGUUGAUUCAGUAGUGUCUUCCAUUUGAAGACAUACAGAAAUGGUUAGAAUAAUCUAUUCAUUUCAAGAGAUACCUUGCAUCUAUGACCCUUAUACUCCCAUGAACUUUGAUCCGAUUAACACAGUGGGCAUCUAUUAUUUAUAAAAUAUGGAUGAAAUUAAAGAGAAUUAAAAAAAAAUUCAUGGGAAGUGUAUUUUGGAAAAAAUAAUUCUCGUUUGAUACAUUGGAAAAGUGUCUACCUUACAUUACCCAAAAAUGUCAUUAUAUGUGUACAUGGGUCAUCAUCCAUAGUAACCCAAUUCACAUGAGGAUGAUACAUCAUUCAACCAAUAAAGGUACUUUAAGCUCAAAACAGUGGUACAUUAUAAUCAAAACAAUAUUACUUUAAUAUCAAAAUACAUGUAAGGACAUUUUCAGGUAAUGUGAGGUAAAUACUACUAUAAUACAUUAAAUAAGAAUUAUUUUCCCAAAAAUGUACUUCCCAUGAAAAUGACUUAUGUAGAUUUUCUUUUAUUUAUAUUUUAUAAUAGUGCAUGUUUACAUAAUUCCCUCAUUAAUUAAUAUAAUCAUCUAUACCUAAUAAUUAAGGAAAUAAAAAUUAUUUACAUACUAAGCAAGGAUAAUGGAAAUUAAAGAGUAUGUCAAAAGAGAGAAAAAAAAUAUUAAAGAUAAAUUAAAACUCUAAAAUACAAGCCUUCAUUUGCACAUAUAGGCCAAUAUCUUAGGAGGUAUUUGAUUAAAUAAUAAUAAUAAUAAUGAUUAAAAAAUGGAAAAAAUUAUGGAUCCCAUUUUUUAAGUGUUUUCAAUAACAUAAUUAUAAACCUCUUAAAAUUUAAAAUCAUUUAUUUAAACCACUUUAUUCAUUUAGCAACAAGGACUUAAUUAAUCACUAAUAUCAAACACAAUGAUUUAUAAUUUUUAUAAUUUUUUCUUCCAUUACUAUCAUUUUUUUUGUUAAUAAAAUGAAGAUUUCUAUAGAUGAAUUUUUUUAAUAAUAAAACGUAACUUUUUUUAAAUUAAAACCAUUUAUUAUUAAAAAAAUUUAUUUUAAUUCAUCUAUGGGAUUCUUUUAGAAUUUUUAGAAUUUUUUUAUUUCAUAUUUAAAGAUAAAAAAAUUAUUAUGAAAUAAUUUUAUUCAUUAUAAAAAUUUUCUUUCUUUUCUAAAUCAUAAUUUUUGUCAUGUCCAUUCAUAUAAUAAAAUUAAAAUUAUAAAUAAAUAAAAAAACCUAUUUUAAUUGACAGCAUCAUGGAAUCUCUCCAUGCACACUCAUGCAGCCAGCCAUCAGUUCCCACGCCAGCCACGUGUCUUCCAACAAGUAUAUUCCAUUUCUUUGGUUCUCCACGUUUGUGUUCUAUUUUUAUUUAUUUAUUUUAUCUUGAUUAGUAGUUCACAGAACAAGCAUGCAUGACAAGUAGAUAUGUCAUGGCUAUGAUCACUUCUAACACUAAACCCUCUUAAACCAAGUGAGGUACGAAUGCAGUAUGCAAGUCUAAAUACUGGUGAAAGAAAAAAAAUGAAGGGAAAAAUCAUCGAGAAGGGUGAACCAUGGGUGAUAACCCACUUUAAGGUUCAUCCUUUGGAUAAAUAUUAGAAGUUAAAAGAGUAUAAAAUGUCAACAUAUGUCGUCAUUUUUUUUUUUCACUUUUAAGUUAAAUAUAUUCUUAUUGUUAUAAAUGAAGUAAUGAAUGUCACCAUAUUUAUUAUAUUAAAUUUUCAUUAAAAGCCUAUAAAAAUGUUUCCUAUCCCCUAUAAAAUGUAUCCCAAGCAAAGAAAGAAAUUUUCUUUCUCUCUUAUUUCAUUUUAUUUUAAUUUUUUAUUCUCCAUAUCUUUCAUUCUUUCAACUCUCUUAAUUCUCUUUUAUGAUUCCUUCCUCUCCAUUAUAUAUUAUUAUCAAAAUAAUAUAUAGUUGUUCUCUACUUUUAUUUGCGUUGCAUUUAUCCUCCUUUUACAACACGUUAUUAGCACGAAUUGCUUUGAAGGUAAUUCUCGUAUCUUAAACUUGAAGUUAUUUAUAUAGAAUAAAAUUUUACAUAUUUAUAUUGCUAUUGUUAAAUUCAUUUAAUUUGUGUUAUAUAUUAUUACAAGCUAUAAGCAAAUUAUUUGAUUUUUAUUAUAAUCAAAAGUUAUACCAAUGCUAUUAAUUUAUAACUAAUUCUAGUAAUAUUAUUUUUUCCAUAUAUCUGAAGUUAUUUAACAAUGUCAAAUCUCACAAAACUCGAAUUUGUGGCACUUGACAUUUAAGAAAAGAACUAUCUAUCUUAGAUCCUUAAUGCUGAAAUACAUCUUGAUGCAAUGAAUCUUGGAGUUACGAUUAAAAAAGGAAAUCAAGCAUCCUUGUAGGAUCACACAAAAGCGUUGAUUUUCCUUCGCCAUCUUCUCUAUAAAGGUUUUAAAAAUGAGUAUCUUAUAGUAAAGGAUGCUUAUACUCUAUGGAGUAAUUUGAAUGAAAGAUAUGGCCACCAAAAAAUUGUGAUUCUCCCAAAAGCUUGAUAUGAUUGGAUGCAUUUGAGGUUGUAGGAUUUUAAAACUAUUAGUGAAUAUAAGUCUACACUUUUCAAAAUCAGCUCUCAAUUAAAGCUAUGUGGAGAAAAAAAUCACAGAAGAAGAAAAAACUUUACUACAUUUCAUGCCUCGAAUGUGCUCGUACAGUAGUGAUACCAAGAGCAUAGAUUUACAAAAUAAUCUGAAUUAAUAUCAUGUCUUCUUGUGAUUGAAAAAAAUAAUGAGCUUUUGAUGAGAAAUCACUAGUCUCAUCCAUUUGGAUCUGAACCAUUUUUUGAAGUGAAUGCAAUAUCGUCCCAAACUCGUGGAUGAGGACGAGGAAAUGGUCGUGGUCGUGGAAGGAAUCCCCGAUAUAAUGGUUAUUAUGGUAAUAAUUCCUCAAAUUCUCAUAAAAGAAAAGCUUCAUUGCACCACCAAAAGUGGAAUAAUACUGAGGCAAAACAAGAAAAUGGGAAGUGUUUACAAGAUAAACCUCCAAAGAACCAUGAGAAUAAUUGUUAUAAAUGUGGUAUGAAGGGCCAUUGGUCGUAUACCUAUCAUACACUCAAACAUUUGGUCUACCUUUACCAAACAUCAAUAAAAGAAAAAGGAAAAGAGAUAGAGAUGAACUUUACCAAUGGUGAUGGAUUGGACUUAACCUACUAUGACAUUGAUUUCUUUGGAGGUCUUAGUGAAAAAACAGACUAUUUAAUAAAUUAUAAGAAUGCUAACAUUGAUUGGUGUUACUUAAUAUAUCAAAUAAUAUAUUAUUAUGUCUUAUAUUUAUAUCUAAUUAUUAUAUUUUCUUUUAUAUUGUUAUUUAUAUUAUGCCUUAUUUUUUUAAUACUAGUUAUAUCUAAAAUCCACAUGUUAUUUGGUCUCAAGAUGAAUGAGGAUGAUGUAUGUCUUGCAGAUUGUGAAACCAUGCACACAAUUCUUCAAGAUAAAAGAUAUUUAUUUAAAUAGACAUUGAUAAAAGCUAAUGUAAGUACCAUAUAUGGUACUACAAACUUAUUUAAAUGAUGCGUCAAAUAAUUGAACACUCACAUGGGCAUCCACUAAAGAACCUAAAGAGUCUUUUGCCCAAUGAAUUCUCAUGUGUUGCUUGCUGACAAGGUAAAUUGAUAGUCAGACCAUCUUUUACUAAAGUCAUAUCUGAGUCACCAGUAUUUUUAGAAAGAAUACAUGGGAACAUUGUGGGCCUAUCCAUCCACCAUGUGGACCAAUUCGUUAUUUUAUGAUCUUAAUAGAUGCUUCUACUAGGUGUCACAUGUUUGUCUCCUUUUUACAUAUAAUGUUGCCUUUCCUAGACUCAUUUCACAAAUGAUCAAAUUAUGAGCACAAUUCCAAGGUUAUCCUAUUAAAACAAUACGUCUUGAUAAUGUUGGCGAAUUUACUUCUCGAACAUUCAUUGACUAUUGUCUAUUGGUAGCGAUAAAUAUUGACCAUCUUAUUAUUCAUAGUCAUACCCAAAAUGGUUUAGCAAAAUCCUUCAUCAUACAUCUCCAAUUAAUAGCUCGAUCAUUACUAAUGAAAACCAAAUUACCUACUUCUACCUAGGGACAUGCUUUUAUGCAUGCUGCAACUUUUGAUCGUAUUCAACCUACAACUUACCAUGAAUACUUCCCUUCACAACCCAUACUUAGUGUUAGGAAUUUGAGGCUAAUCCAAACUAUGGUAAUCACCCUAGAGGGGUGGGAAGGGGGGGGGGGGGGGGUGGUAAAUAGGGUGAUGGUCUCUUUUUCACAAAUUUAAACUAUGCAAAAAUAAGAGACAAUUAUAUGCAAAUAUAUAAUAAACAAAAUAAAGACAAUUGCAUAUAAUUUAAAAGAGUUAGGGAAGAGAGAGUGCAAACACGAGAGUUUAUAGUGGUCCGACACUUCCUUGCCUACGUCCACUCUCCUCAACCUCCUAACCGAGUGAGGGUUCCACUAUCUUGAAGCUUCAACCAAGCUUCCAAUCUCUUUACAAUUGGACUAUGGUUCCAAUUCACCCUUUUGGACUUUUGGCUCCAAGCACCCUUUACACUUCUCAAGAGUUAUCCCACUCUUGAACAACCUCUCAAGUGAUACCCCUCACUUGAGAAAAUUCCUCUCAAAAGAUAUACAAAGAUUGAUCUCACAAAAAUCCUAGUAAUAAAACUUUAGGCUCAAAGAUACAAGAAAAACUAGGAUUGAAUGGUGCAUUAAAGAUAUGCAAGUUAUGAAACAAUGGUGCACUAAAAAACACUCUUCCAAGGCUCAAAUAUAUUCAAGAAUGAUUUGGGAAGGUUAAGCUCAUGAAACAAUGAAGAUUGGAGCCUUUUUAUAGAAGAAAAAAGCCAAACUAGCCAUUGGGGGUUCGACCGGUCGAGCUAGGGGUCGACCGGUUGACUAGCCGUUAGGAAAAGUGACUGUUGGGCCUCAACCGGACCUUGACCGGUCCUCGACUGGACCUCAACCGGUUGAGGUUCAACCUUGAUCGGGAAGAGAAGGUCAUUGGGAGAGAGAGAAACUUUUUGGCCUCCCUCAACCGGUCCUCGACUGGACGAGCACAACUAGUCGACCUGUUGAACAAGUUAAGCCAUUUUUUUGGCUCAACACUCAACCUUUUUCAACUUAAAACCUUUUAACACAAGUUUGAAAAUCAUUUAACACAAGGUUUUAGUUGAAAACAUGAAAUCAUCCAAUUCUUAAGAUAUUUAAAACAAUAUUACUCUUGGAUGAUUUUGGUGUAUAAAUAAAGAAUGAAAUGCAUGAAAGUCCUAGUGCACCAACAACCUUACAAAGAGAUCUUAAGAAGCUUUGGUCUUGAAAAACUCUUCUCUUAGAGGUGGUCUUCUUCUUCAUGAUUUCUCCUUGGCUUGAUUUGUCUUUGGAUUGCCACUUUGGAAGUCGUCUUGCCUAAUCACUCUUGAAAUAUGAUCAUUAGUUCUAAACCUUGUUUUGUUAUCAUCAAAAUCAAGAUUAACCAAACCUUGGUUUCACACUUAGAAAAAAACUAAAUAUCUCGCUUACGAAUCUUUGGUUGUGCAGUAUAUGUACCAAUUGCACUUACACAAUACACUAAAAUGGGUCCCCAAUGAAGACUUGGGAUUUAUUUAGGUUUUAAUUCUCCAUCUAUCAUAAGAUAUUGUUAGAAAAAUUAGGCUAAUUCAACCUAGGGUAAUCACCCUACAGGGGAGAGGGGGGUGAAUAGAGUGAUGGUCUAUUUUUUCAAAUUUAAAUUAUAUGAAUACAAGAGACAAUUAUAUGCAAAUAUAUAAUAAAACACUAUAAAGACAAUUGCAUAUAAAGUAAAAGAGUAGGGAAGAGAGAAUCCAAACACAUGAUUUUCAUAGUGGUUCAGUGUAACCCAACCUACGUCCACUCUCCUCUAACUUCAAUCCCAAGCUUGAGGUUCCAUUAUUUCAAGGCUUCCAAACUAAGCCUUCAAGCAAUACAAUUGGAUUAUAGUUCCAAUCCACCCUCUUGGACUUUUGGCUCCAAGAACCCUUUACAAUCUUCAAGAGAUACCCCACUCUUGAACAACCCUUCAAGUGAUACCCCACACUUGAGAAUCCCUAAAUGAUAUAACACAUUUAGACUUCUCUUCUCAAAGAUUUACAAAUGAAGAUAGGAUUGAAAGGUGCACUAAUGAUAUGGAAGUUUUAUAAUAACGGUGCACUAAAAAACACUAUCCCAAGGCUCAAAUAUAUUCAAGAAGGGUUUUGGAAGGUUAAACUAUUGAAACAAUUAAGAUUGAAACCUUUUUAUAGAGGAAAACGACCAAACUAACCAUUAAGGGUUUGAUCAGUUGAGCUAGGGGUCGACCAGUUGAUUAGCUGUUAGCAUUUAAUGCUUGGCAGGUGACCGUUGGACCUUGAUUAGACCUCGAUCAGUUGAGCAAGCGUUCUUGAUGAGAGAAAAGGUUUUUGCACCCUUCGAUUGAUUGAGCUAAACAGGUCGACCAGUUCCUCAUCUAGUUCAACAAGUUGAGCUGUUUUUGGCUCAACAACCAUCAUUUUCAACUUAAAACCUUUAAAACAAGUUUGGAAAACAUUUGACAUAAGGUUUCAAUUGAAAACAUGAAAUCAUCCAAUUUUAAAGGAUUUAAUACAAAAUUACUUUUGAAUGAUUUUGGUGCAUAAAGUAAUAAUGUAAUGCAUAAAAUACCUAGUGCAUCAACAACCUUACCAAGAGAUCCUAUAAAGUUUAGGUUUUGAAAAACACUUCUCUUUGAGGUCUUUUUCUUCUUAUUGAUUUCUCUUUGUCUUGAUUUUGUCUUUCUAGUUGCCACUUUGGAAAUCUUCUUGUCUAAUCACACUUGAAAUAUAAUCAUUAGUUCCAAACCUUUUUUUUUUAUCAUCAAAAUCGAGAUUAACCAAACCUUGGUUUCACAAAUAUCUUGAACCUUUGACAGGCGAUGUUUUAAUAGCCCGCUUUGCAGAUUGUCAUUUUAAUGAGAGUGUUUGCCCAUCAUUAGGGGGAGAAAAGUCAAUUCCUGAAGAACGGUGAGAAAUUACUUGGAAUGCAUCUAUUAUGUCCCAUCUUGAUCCUCGUACAAAUCAAUAUGAACUAGAAGUUCAAAGGAUCAUUUAUUUGCAAAAUCUUGCAAACCAAUUACCAAAUGCAUUCAUUGAUACAAAGAAAGUGACAAAGUCACAUAUCCCGACUAUAAAUACUCUAGCAUGGAUUGAUGUCUCUGUAGGACAAUUAACAAAUGAAUCUAAGAUAUGCUUGAAAAGUGGUAGACCUGUCAACUCAAAUGAUGUAACUCCCUAAAAGAGGAGAACACAAGAAAAACUUUGCACUGUAGAAGAGGUCCUUGAAAUGAUUGAUUAGUCUAAAAUUGAUAAAUCUAUAGCCCUAAAAGAGGCACAAAUAAUGUCAAAAGCCCUUGAAAAGGUACAUAUUGAACAAAAAGACCUUGAAGAGGCACAUAUUGAACAAGAAGCUCCUGAAGAGGUACAGGUACCUGAAAAUUGUGAGAUCCCAGUAAGUUAUGUACACACGGGAGAAAAAUGGGAUCUAAAUAAUAUUGCAAUUAACAAUAUUUUUGCUUUUCAAGUGGCCCAUGAUAUCAUAAGAAAUUAUGAAGAUCCCGAACCACGAAAUGUGGAAGAAUGCUGACAUAGAAAUGAUUGGCCAAAAUGGAAAGAAGCUAUGCAAGCAAAGUUAAACUUAUUAACAAAACGAGAAGUUUUUGGACUUGUACUCCAAACACUUGAAGAUGUAAAGCCUGUUGGGUAAAAAUGGGUAUUUGUAUGAAAACACAAAGAGACUAAUGAAAUCAUAAGAUAUAAAGAGCAAUUAGUAGCACAAGGUUUUUUUUAGAGACCAGGUAUUGACUACAAGGAAACAUACUCUCUCGUCAUGGACGCAAUCACAUUUUGUUUCUUAAUUAGUUUGGUAGUCUCAUAAGGACUAGAUAUGCGCUUCAUAAAUGUUAUUACAACAUAUUUAUAUAGAUCUAUAAAUAAUGAUAUAUACAUGAAAAUCCCUAAAAGAUUUUAAAUUGCCUAAAACAAAUAAUACAAAGACUUGUAACAUGUACUCAAUCAAGUUACAAUGAUCCUUGUAAGGAUUAAAGUAAGUUAGAUGCAUGUGGUACAAUCACCUUGGCAAAUACUUACUAAAAGAAGGUGUGUGAAUAACCCUAUAUGUCCAUGCAUCUUCAUUAAGAAAUUAGAAACCGAAUUUGCAAUUAUUGUAGUGUAUGUUGAUGACUUAAAUCUUGUUGAAACUCCUAAAGACCUCAUAAGAACAAAAAAUUACUUAAAAAAGGAAUUUGAGAUGAAGAAUCUUGGAAAAACAAAAUUUUCUAUUGGUCUGUAAAUCGAGCAUUUUCCAAAUGGAGUUUUAAGAUAUCAAUCAACAUAAAUUAAGAAAAUUUUGAAGCAUUUUUAUAUGGAUAAAGUGCAUCAUUUAACUUCUCCAAUAAUUGUCUAAUCACUUGAUGUGAAAAAUGACCCAUUUCGGCCUUGCGAAAAAAGUGAAGAAGUACUUGGUCCUAAAGUACCAUAUAUUAGUGUUUUUGGUGCACUUAUAUAUCUUGCCAAUUGUACAUGUCUAAACAUUGCUUUUUAUGUCCAUUUAUUAUCAAGAUACAGUUCCACUCUAACUUGAAGACAUUGAAAUGGUAUCAAACAUAUAUUGCGCUAUCUUUGCAAAACUACGGUCUAUUUUACUCAAGGGAAUCAAGUAACAAUUGCUUGGAUAUACAAAUGCAGGAUACCUUUUAGAUCCACAUAAAGGUAGUUCACAAACAGGGUAUAUGUUUAAUUACAAUGGUACUAUUAUUUCAUAGAGAUCUAUCAAACAAACAAUGAUGACCACAUUAUCAAAUCAUUCAGAAAUACUUGUAAGUCAUGAAGCAAGUCAUGAAUGUAUAUGACUAAGAUCUAUGAUACAAUAUAUUCGAGAACCAUGUGGACUCUCCUCUAUCAAAAGUGACUCGACAAUAUUAUUUGAAAAUAAUAUUGCAUGCAUUGCACAAAUAACAGGAGGUCAUAUUAAAAGAGAUAGAACUAAACACAUUUCAUCAAAAUUCUUUUAUACACAUGAACACCAGAAAAGUAGUGAAAUUGAUGUGCAACAAAUAUGCUCAAGUCAUAAUCUAGCAUAUUUAUUCACAAAGUCAUUGCCAACCUCAACAUUGAAGAAGUUAAUACACAAGAUUGGAAUGCAUCAACUCAAGGAUAUUGACAUGAGGGCGAGUAUGCUUGUAAAAGGGUGUUAGUGUACUAUACUUUUUUUUUUCCCUUCGUCCAAGUUUUGUCCUGUUGGGUUUUACUAGCAAGGUUUUUAAUGAGAAAGUCCUAACAUAUCAAGAUCAACUUAAAGAAUUAUUAGAAUAUUGUACUAUUUUUCCUUUGCUAGGUUUUUCCUAUAGGGUUUUUUUACUAGCAAGGUUUUAUUGAGACAUAUUCUUUUAAUGUGGUAGACAUCCAAGGAAAAGUGUUAUAAAUGAAGCAAUGAAUACCACCACAUUUAUUAUAUUAAAUAUUCAUUAAUAUUAUUUAUGACUUCCAUUAAUAUUCAUUAAUGGAAGCCAUUUGGAAAGCCUAUAAAAUGGCUUCCCAUCCCUUGUAAGAUGCAUCCCAAGGAAAGAAAGAAAUUAUCUCUCUUAUUUUCUAUGUCUUUCAUUCUUUCAACUCUGUUAAUUCUCUUUUCUAAUUCUUUCCUUCCCAUUAUAUAAUAUUAUUAAAAUAAUAUAUAGUUGUUCUCUACUUUUUAUUUGUGUUGCAUUUAUCCUCUUUUUACAACACUUAUUUUUUUUGUUCUUUUCUCUAUUUUAUUUUAUUUUUUCUUUUCUAGUUAUUAUAAUUAUAAUUGUUAUUAUUAUUAUUAUUGUUAUUUUAUAAAAAUAAUAUAACCUAUCAAAAAAUGAUAAUAAUAACACAUCUAUAAAUAAUAUAAUAAUUAAUUUACAAAUUAUAGUUUCAUUAGUUAUUAUUAUUGUUAUUAUUAUAAUAAUUAUUAUUUCAAAAUUUUAAAAAUAUUAUAUAUAACUUAUACAAUAAGAAUAAUAAUAAAAUAAUUUUACAAAUAUUGUUUCAUUCAUGUAUUGAAGACAGUUUUCUUAUAUAAACUUUCAUAAAUUUUCAAUUGUUUUUUACAAUAUGAUUAUUAAGAAAAUAUUACAAUAAAAAAUUAGUAUUGAUAAUUCUUAUAAUGAUCAUAUACUAGAUGCAUUCUUAUUAGCAAUAAUUCUUAUAAUAAAACUCAUACACCUUAUAAAAAAAAUGUCUUAUAAGGUUAAUUUAUAGUAGAUGAAAUGUUAAAAAAUACAUAAAAUAUAUAACAACCAUUCAUCAAUGCUUGUUUAAAAGGAAAACUUUAAAAUAAAGUUAGGUUAUGCAGUAAUGUAUAAGACAUUUGAAGUAUUCAUGUUGUAAGAUCAUUAUAUUUUUGUGGUACGUAUACGUUGGCUUUUAUUUUAAUACAUAAUAUCAGUGUACUAGCAUUAUACAUUUAAUGAAUCAUUAUUAAGCAUGAUUUUUAUAAUAAAGCCUAUAAGUUUUAAGAAUUAGAUGAAAGAAAGAUUAUAUUCUAAGAUUGGUUUAUAAUCAAUAACAUUAUAAUAAUAAAAAUAUGAAUAAUGAUACAUAUGGAAUAUUAAUGAUAUAAAACUAAUAUCCUAAAUAAUAUGUUAAUAAUGAUGAUAAUAAUAAAUAUAUAAUUAUAAUUUUUUAAAUAAAUAAUAUAGUUAGUCUUAACAUAUAGUAAAUAAAGCACAAAAGGUAGAAAAGAAAGUAGAAAAGUAAAGUUAUAUGGGAGUAAGAGGAAAAGACAAAAUGUUGUAAUUGGAAUUAUGAAAUGAUCAAAUUAUCAAACUAUAACUUGUGAAUUUGACAAGACUUUGGGACUUGGUGACCCUUAAGGGAGCUUAUCAUCACUUCGAGCUAGGUGACCUUUUUUUUUUAAAAAAAAAUUGAAAAUAAAGCCCAUGAAAAAUUUAUUUAUAAAGAAUAAUAACAAUUUUGUAUUUUUUUAUACAAAUUAGAUAUUUAAUUUAUUAGAAUAAUUUUGAUGGUAAUGACAAACAAAAUAACUCCUUAAAUAGGUGAAAUAAUUCAUUUUCUCAAUUUUAUAUGCAAAAUUAUUUUAAAACAAAAGGGACCAUACAUUAUUUUUGUUCAUCAAUCCACAUUUUGACUUUCACUUUAAAAUCCAGCUAUAAAAAUCUCUCUUUAUAUAUAUUUGCCUAGAUUGCCUAAUCAUCCAUUCGUUCAUUGUCUAUAACUUCUUGCCUGAUUAUCAAUUUAGAUGUUCAUAUUUGCAUAUAUUUAUUCAUUCCACCAUGUAUUUUGUUGGCUUAUUUGUAAUGUAUACAAUUUUGAUGAAAUGUUUGAUUAUUUGAAAACCGAAUUUCCCCUAACCCACUAAUAAAAAGCAAGUAAAAGUCCGACCAAGAGGGGUGUUCUUGGCCGGUGGCCUUCCUGAUAAGUCACCUUAGCCGUAGACUAGAUUUAGAUUUUGCAAUUAGUACCUUUCUUUUCCUUCUAGGAAUCACUAUCAUCUUGACCAAUCUAGCCAUGUACCAAAAAGUCAAUUUUGCCAAGUUUAAGAAGUUUGCUUUAAGCCUGUUCAUCAUAGUUGACAGAAGAGAAAAUGUCCGCAGGAGCAGAGAGAGAGAGAGUGAAGGCAAUACAUUCAGUCAUGAAUUUGAUGCAAAUCCCAAAGUACGUAAUUGUCUUGAAUACUCUCACCAUGAUUGUCGAUCUAUCGGAUCAGACGAUUACUAUGUUUGCCAAAAAUGCCUGGGCCGUAUGUGGAAUAAAUCAGUUCCACAAGGAGGGGAAACUGCAAAUUUCCGUACAAGGUCACUGGAAAACAGGCUAAUGCAGCCAAGGCAAUAAGAAUCCAUGCCUUCUUUUCACCAAAGAGAAGAUAGAUUGCGCCACUGUAGGCUAUCAUCAUGAAUGUUACGGAGAGGAAUAGAGUAACAAGGCCAAAUAUCAACCUCCUGGGAAGGGCAAAAAGAAAAUCAUCUUCUGCAUAUCGUGCCGUGAGAAUGGAUAGGCAUAUCAGCACCGAAGCAAUGGAUAGGAAGAGGGAAAGCGCAUCCGAAACUGCAAAAACUUUGAAGGCAAUUUCUUUGGAGAAAUUUCGUAUGCCAGUAUCAUCAUGGUUGCCACCCGGGAUGGUAAUUGCAGCUGCAAACACUACAGUAGCAAUAAGCGCUGCCGCCAAUGUGUAAAAUUUUGCUGUGCCUUUCAUCCAUUUCUCCCCUUCUUUUAUCAAAUUUUCAUGUUCCUUUAUAAAUGCCAUUUUCGGUUUAUCUUUGUUUUCGUUCUCAGAUUCACUGAAGGCUCUCGGUGCAUAUUUUUCAAUUUCCUGUGUAAAAAUCAUAAAGUUUCUAAGAUACAGAAAAAGAGUGGAUAUGUAUAAGAAAAUUAAUUCCCCUUCAAAACAAAAAUUAUUACCUUAAACCAAUGUAACUCGCGUUGCAUUUGUAGAGCUGCACCAGAAACGAGACUGAGCCGGUGCGGAGGGGCCAAUUUUCCAGCCAAAUGCAAGAUAUUAUCGUUAUUUGUAUCAUCUCUGGUUCGUAUUAUAAGUUGUCUAUGCAUACCAGUUUCGCAGAUGAGGUUGAAAAUCUUUUCAUAACGAUUUAAUACUACCAAUUUGAAUAGAUCCUCAUCCAGAUACUCGAGUGCAAAAGGAUAUGACUUUAUAAUCUCUUCCAGAAUCUCGGGAAUCCCAUAUUUUGCCCCAUUAAUGAAUGAUUGUCUAAAUAUUUCCUUUGCUCUUGACACUUUCAAAACUUCAGUACAUACGUGGUUAAGCAAUUCAAGAGUCAGAGUAUGCAUUGUUUUUGUUUCUUGGAUGUGCUUGAUGGGUGGUACUGCAAUUAAAAUUAUAUUAAGGACAACAUAACAUUGCAUUCAAGACUUUUGCAUGCUUUAGUGGUAGUUUUGUUGUGUUCCUUACCUAACCAUAUAACCAGUUCCCAGAAUAUUGCAUUCGCCUUUCGGCAAGCUGUGUGCAACGUAAAAUUGAAGCAGUUCAGAUGCAAAAGCAGGACUAACAGAAGAAAAAACAAAAAAGCAACCCUGAACCAAGUACCAAUUAAACACUAAUCUAAAUUAAAUUCAUUGUGAGAAGUUGCCAACUCAUAUUGGCUGGUGUAAAGUUUUUUUGGGAUUCAAUAGGUUACAUAUGUUUCCCUAAAACCGUCGCACUUGAAUUUAAAGGCUAGAAUCAAGAAGCCUAAUGAAACUUGGUACAAGCUCAAUUACUCGACUUCUUAUUAAUUAACCAGGAGCAUCAAGUGACAAGAUAUUCACAAAAUCUAUCAAAGCAAUGAAAAUUGUGUAUCCUGCAUAAAUCUCUGAGUAGUAGAGUAUUAUCCAUUGGAAUUUGAUUGUAGAGCUGAUUUCAAAUCCAUUACUCGAACUUAAAAGGAAAAAAAAUGAAGACAAUUUUGUGAGGACAAAUUAAAAUUGUGAGGACCUUGAAGUCAACAAAUUAGCAUUUCUCGACCUGGUGCAAUUUGGCAAAUUGGUUUGACCUAACUCGAAUCUCGGUGAAGUUGAGAAACCAUUUUUAGUACUCAAGUUAGGAUUUGGUUGAGUUUCUCAACCAAAAGUUAAUUUUGGUUGAGCUCAAUUUUGGGUUGAGUUCAGACCAAUGCUUCAACAAUCUAAGCUGAAUUAAACUCCAUUAAUAUUUGUAGAAUGUAUUACUAUAUAAUAAUAUCAAAUUUUUUUUAUAAAAUAAGUUUAAGGGAAAAAUCAUCAAAAUAUAUUAAGCUAACUCUCAGAAAUUUGCCUACCCCCUUGUGAACACUAUUUGGAAGGAAAUUUAUUUAGGAAGCCUCUUAAGCAAGCCAGAAAGGUAUCCUGUCCUUUGUAGCCUAUGCAUUCAAAAGUACAGGGCCUAAUGAACAUGAGACCCAAGCAUGGUGCCUACUACUUCAUCACAUUUACGGAUGGUUAUAUCUACAAGUCCAAAGAAUUGCAUUGAUCUAGAUGUUACAUGAAUAUUGUAAAAAAUUGAAAAGAAAAAACUAUUACAGCAUUAAGGAUAAAUCAUGGACAUGAGUAUCCAUUGCAGAUUUUUAAAAAUCUCUAUGAUGAAAAGGAAAUCUAAAGAAUAAUCAAUAGCUUCAAGGACUCCAUAGUAAAAUGGUUGAACUAAAAAAAGUAACCAUAAACUUUUGGAUAUGGUUCACUCAAAAAGGCACAUGCCAACUAUCUAACAUCUUUUGGGGUGGGAAAGGAGGGUUGCUGUUUUGAUUGCAACUUAAAUCUUGAAUAGAGUGCCCUCAAAAUCAAUUACUUCAAAUCCAUAUAGUUAAGAAGCCAAACCUAACUCAAUUGUGAUCCUAAGGGUUAGCAAGUUUAGUUCAUGUAAAUUCUCAUAGAUAUUGUGCUAUAAAGGAAACAAGUGCACUUUCAUUAGAUAUUCUAAUAAAUCAAAGGUUGUGUGAUGCUUAGUGAACAACUCAAUGGGAAUAUAAUUGAAAUUAAGUCAUAAGAAGUUAAUUUCUUAUAGGAUGAUAUUUUGAGUAGAGGAGCAUUGAACAGAAGUCUCAAUUUAUUAGAGGCAAUUAAACCAAAGGAAAAUACUAUGAUAUCUCAUAUCGAAGAGGGGAAAAAGUUCUUGAUAUUAUAUAUAUAUAUAUAUAUAUAUAUAUAUAUAUGAGCUUCUCUUAAUUAUUUAGACACAUUUUAAUGUUAUGAGGGCUCUUUAAGCCCAAAGUGGAUAGUAUAUAUUUACAUGGUUGGGAGUGAGUCAUUACAAAUGGGAUCAAAGUGUAUCCUCAACCAUGGUAUGAGAGUUUGUUUGUUUGGUCCUGUAAUCCUAUGGGACACAAUGAGGACUUUAUGUCUUCAUGAGGGUGAUUUUAAUAUCCCACAUUGAAUAGGGGAAAAAUUUCUUAGCAUUAUAUAUGUAAGAGCUCUUCUUAACCAUGCAAACGUGUUUUAAAUCUCUGAGGUCCCUUUUAGUUCAGAGUAAACAAUAUCUACUUGAUUGGGAGUGAGUUGCUAUAGAUGUUAAAGAUUUUGCUAAGGAUAUGAGUGACUUGACAAGAUAGUAACUUUGAGUAGUGACUUGCCACUUACUAGAUUAUGCCACUAAGUGGGAUUUUACCAUUUCAUAUUAAUUCACUAGAUUUAGAUGUGAGUGGAAAAAAACUUGGAACUAUCUCAUCAUUGUAAUUGUGGGCAUUAAGGUGAAGUUUUCAUGUUUGCAUCAUAAGAUCAUGAUGUUGGGAUAGAUUCUUUAAAAGCAUGAUAUGAUGCAACCAUAAAUGGAGUUCAUUAAUACUUACAUUAUGACUUCGAUUUUCUAUUUACUAUCCUAUUUAUGAAUUAUGUAUGUUAAGCAUUCAAACCUACAUCACUUGCAUGUACAUGACUUGAGUGAUUUAUGAGUUACAUAGAAAAUCUAAGUCAUAGAUUCCUUGCAAGUUAAUGACUCAUUCACAACUGGUUCAUGGACUUCAAUAAUCCAUUUGAGGCUAUAGUGUACUACCUCCUUAUUGGAGGGAUGACUUGCCCUAGUCAUUAGGAUGGGUUUCCCAUGGUGAAUGUACUAGUGUGUUUAGUUAUGUUGGGAAACCUAGAUCUCUCCAUCCCAUAACCCUAGAUUGUAUAGGUGCAUGCAAAAUAUCCUAGGGUUCUAAAUCCUAUGCAACAUAAGCAAAAAUCAAAAUUUUAACAUUCUAUAAUCUAGAGAAAAGUCAUUAAAAACUUUGAGAAAAUAAAAGGCUAAUCUUAACAGAGAAAACACCUAAGAGGGGGAGAUGGGUGAAUUAGGUUUUAAAAAAAUAUUUUUCAAACACAACAAAUUCAAGCAAAGAAAACACAAAUAUAAAGAGAGACGGUUAGAAAGAGCAAACUCGGAUUUUAUAGUGGUUCAACACUUCCUUGCCUACGUGCACUCUCCUCAACCUCUUAACUAAGUGAAGGUUCCACUAUACUUGAAGCUUCAACCAAGCUUUAAAUCACCUUUACACUUAGAUUCCAACUCCAAUGGGCUAUUACACAAUCCCUUCAAGUCUUAACUCACUUGAAGCUUUUAACACUCAAAUAAUAAGUUUGAAUCUCUC